RNAcentral lists this long non-coding RNA (76880 nucleotides) under Fragaria vesca (wild strawberry). Lineage: Eukaryota; Viridiplantae; Streptophyta; Magnoliopsida; Rosales; Rosaceae. The record is from RNAcentral.
CCUUCUUGCCUGCAGUGGCCCUAUGGUCACCAAAUACUUGAACAUCUAGCUUGCUUACAUUCUCAGCUACAAGACCAACAUCGAGAAUCUGUUGAAGCAAGUGAAGAAGCUCAAGGCCGCAAGAGACAUGGUGCGGUGCGCCAAGCUGCCGAAGACGCCAAACAGAGGGGCCAAGUUGCAAUCAGAGCUGAAGUUGAGAAAUGGCUGACCAGUGUGGACAAGCUCACCGAAGAGGUGACCAAAUUCUUCGAGUACAAAGGUGAUGCCAACGACGGCUGGUUUCGUUGGUUCUAUGGUUUGUUGAUGUCGCGAUACCAGUUGAGCAAGAAGGCAAACAAGAUGAUAGAGCGUCUUGUUCAACUCCAGGCCGAUGGAGCCUUUCUAAUGAAUUAGUUAGUAACUUAGUAUAAGUUGCUUGUGAUUUUAACUUGUUUCUUCAGCACUUGUAUGUUUUGUAACAAUUGAAUGAUGUCUCUGUGUUUAUGAAAUAAUUUGCGUAUUGAUCGAUUUAAAAAAAAAAGAAGAAGAAGAAAAUAUCAUACAAGUUUGAUCUCCAUUAAUGGAGAUUAGGGCUUUGCCUUUCUCAUAAUUUUUUGCCAAAGGCUUUCUUUGAAUUUUCCUGAUGAAAUGCCAAUACUCCAUCUUAUGAGCAAGCACUCUCCUAACCAUUUAAUUUUUUCCAUUAUUGUCUUGUAUGCCUGCUCAAACAAUCUAAAAUCAUGAACUGCUGAAGUCGAUCGAGAUCUCAAUGCCCUUAAUGCAUGGCAGCCUUCCACUAGGCUCAGCUCAGCUUUGAUACUUCAUACUUGAAGGCACAUACUAAUGAUACUAAACAGCUCAUUUCUAUUUUCAGGUGUCUAGGCCUAAGCCCAAGGAUGAAGCAUUAGUUUUUCAAUUUUGAUAAUAAUAAUUGCAAAGUGCAAUGCUAAUUAGUCCUAAAUCUUUAAUUAGCUAGAGCAUUGACAUUUGUAGGAGGAACAAGGAUGAGACAAGAGCAGCAGAGUCUGAAACCCAAUCGGACUACAAAGUUGGAAGAGUAUUGAACUACUGAUCUAGCUUCCAAUGACCUGUCCUUGACAAUAUUUUACUUGGAACGUAUCCCAUCUGCUAGCUAGAUCGAAGCCAAAAUUCAAAUGAGUCGAACACUUGACAAUUGGCAUGAUUAUUAUAUCAGCCAAAGGGUCCUGCAAAUUAAUAACCAGAAACAUGCAUGCAUGUGGAGUUUUACACAAGACAACUAGACAAGGAUGGUGAAACCCCCAAUGAAAUGCAGAAAAAUUUGACAUCUCUAGCAGGGUUUCUGGUUUAAUUGCAAUUUUAAAGUUCCAGUAGGCUAUUGCAAUUGCAUUCAUUUAAGAAUGGGAUCCUUAAGAUCGAUGAGGAGGCAAAUGCAAACGACGGAUCCCUUAAUGGAUUCUCACUUAAUUUGGAGUUGAAACUUGUCGUAUUGCAUAGGAUGCCAAAUUUCCAAUGGGGAUAUCUUCUAAACUAGUUCCAAUUGGGGUGAGGUAGCCUAUUCCAAGACCGAGCAUUACUAUAAGGCCUCCUUGCAUAGAUCGAUAAUGCAAACUAAGAGUUCAAGCUUCUGUCAUGUUCCACAUAUCCAAACACAUAAACAUGAAAAACUCAGACCCAAUCAACAUUUCAUAAUUAAGAUACAAUCCGUAACUUAUUGCUUUGGUUGCUAUAAAAUAUCCAAGAUCUCAUUUCUAGUCUUUACCAUACUUGUUUUGUUUCUAUUAUUAAAAUUCAACAUUCAACAUCCACCUGCUUAAAAUUUUCAAUGGGGAAAGCAACAGUUUUGUAUAAGCCUAAUAAUGCACCGAAAUGAAACCAAAAAAGUCUCCAUCUUCAGAAAACUAUGAGCAAACCAGAUUUUGUCGACUUGCAGCUUAGCCAUGGUCAUCCUCUUACUUAGGGACCAUAAAGAAAUGGACAAAGGCUCUUCCAGUCAAUUUCAUAUCAGCAAUGCCCGCCGCUCUUUAUUUUUUUGAUACAAGUUGUAGAAAAAGAAGGCUAAACUGAAAUAUAUCGACAUUGAUGUAAAAAUCCCACACAAAUUUAAAAGAGAAAUUACACACUGAUCUGUAUAGUCUCCUUUUUCCUAAUUUCUAUACCUAUUUCAGGCGGUUUCAAAAAAAAAAAAAGAAGAAGAAGAAGAAGUACAUGUAUGCAUUCGUCUACGAUCUUCCAUUGGUUUGGUUAUGGCCAUUGGUGACACCAUUUCGUGCCAUGGCCAUUUCAGUCUCAGCAGCUUUAUCUGCCUCCUCUCGGAACUUCUUGUAUAUAUCACUCUGGUAAAACUUCCUUGUCCUCAUCACUAAAAUCAAUGAAACCAAUGCCCCAAAAAAUGUGGCAGCUGUGAUUAUAAUGAAGGACAACUUGAAGCACUCUCCACCAAGACAAGUCAACUCCUCGUCUUUAUUCCUCUCGAGCCCUUUGGCCACCAAUUGCUUCAUCGCCUCCUUAUCGUAUACAUGACCGGUGAGUUUCACGUUGAGCAAGUACAAGCCGACGGGACUCGCGGCUGAACCAAAAUUGUACAAAGUCGAGUAGUACUUGAGCCCGAAGAGCUCAGAAAUUAUGGCGAAGAGCAAAGGCCAUUGAGCGCCGAAGCAAAACCCUAUUAUGACCGAGGCUAGGUAGAGACCAUUUUUAACAUUGAAGGCAAUGAGGAGGUGACCAAAGCAAGAGACAAAGAGGGUUAGGGUUAGAAUGAGAGGACGAGGGAACUUGUAUCGUUUUAGUAAAAAUUCCGAGACGAAUCCGGCGACGACUCUACCGAGAUAAUUCCAUAUGCUGACCAGGCCGACGAAAGUUUUCCUGCUGCGUGUGGGAUAUCCCAACGAAGUGCCAAUCUGACCCAAGUUGUCAAUUGCUGUCAAUGUGCCCCCAACACCACAUAUGCACGCCAUGAAUAGUAUGAGCAUGUCAAUGCUGAAUAGGGCUUGAAGAAUAGUGUAGUCUUCUCCUCUAUUUGGUGGCCUAAAACAAGUUUUCCAACAAGAUUGGCUAGGUUGUUCCUCUGUGGACUCAGGAGUUUCAUAUGUGACCGGCUCCUUUGACACCUCUAAUUGUUCUUCCGUGGGAACGACUGGCUUUUCCGUCACUAUUUUGACGUCACCAUUCAUCUCGAGCUGUUUUCUCUCCCAAAGCUUGUACUCCUCGAUUACAACAACAACAACGGGAAGAGCGAGCAAGAAGAGCACCAUCGCCGUGCUGGCGCCGUACUCUUGUUGAGUAAAGUUCACCCUAUUCUCUACUAUGAUCAUGAUCAUCAGAAAUCCGGCGAGGCCGAGAGAGAUGUACAACAUGUUGUAGAACACCUGGACCUCGUUGCUUUGUCUAAUCACCUUCAUGAUCCUAAUAGUCCUCAGAAAAGCGAACGAGAUCGCCGCCGGAAGCCACCCGAUGAGCAGAAUCAAGGCCCUGGUGUCGUUGUAGUAGAAAGCAAAGUACAUCUGCGUGAUGAUAGCGCCACUGAGGCCGACGUAGCCCUUGAGAAGCCCUAAAACGACGCCGCGGCUCUCGGGGAAGUUCUUGACGCAGGUGACCAGCGAGCCAGUGUUGGCGAACGACUGAGAAUUGGCGCCGAUGCAAAUGUACAAGCACAUCUGCCAGACUUUUGGUCUCGCGAUUUUUUUGGUGACGGAGAGCCAGAUCAUUAGGUAUCCUAAGAAGUUGAGGACGGCGCCGACCAGCAGGACCACCCACGGCGGCGUGACCUCGUUGAGGAGGCCGGAGAGGAUGCCGACGUUGGAUCCAAAAUCUUUGAAGAAGCUGAGGAGGUUGAGUGUAGAUUGGUCGUAGGCUAGAGCUGUCUUGAUGUCGGGAGAGUAGAGGCCGAACAUGUAGGUGGCGCCGGCGGCGGACAUGAUUAAGAGACAUGCAAAGACCAUGAACCACCGGCCGUUGAGGACCUGGAGGGUCAGGCUUUUGGUGUCGGCCCAUCCUCGAGGACCGGAACCCGCCAUGGCUGGAUUGAUAUAUGUAUCUAGCUAGCUAGGUUGAACCAGAGAGAGCUGUAAGCAAACUUUGGUGUGGAGUAGAGAGAAAUGUAGGAGGAAUAUAUAGAGGAAGUCACACAAAGAGAGCAAGUGACAGAGAAAGAAGAAGAUAUAGUGUCACACCAAGACUUGGUUGACUACGUUUAUAAAUGGAGUAAAUGGGAGGAGUAAAUAACUGAGGAACAAGAUAGGAACGAUAAUCCGAUCCCCUAAUAUAUAUUUCAUCUUAUCCAGAGGAAAACUAAUGUGGGGAAAUUAAAGAGUGAAUUUCUUUAAUUUGGAAUCUUCAGCUUCAGCUGACAGUUAAGUGUUCCCUGCUCAUAUUACGCCACCAUUUUGGACAAAGUCUACUAUACGUACUUAUCCAAAAUGAAUAAAUAGAGAUUAAUUUUUUUUUUUUAAAAAGACGGAUAAAUAUCCUAGCACCAAAAUUUUGAUUAAAUAAAUAUUUAGAUACUUUCUUUCUAAAGAGCAUGUGCGGGUAUUUUUUUUAUAUUAAUAUUAUGGCUACUAUCAAUAUGUAAUAUUUCAUUUUUAUUACCUAAUAAAUAAAGUUCAUUAAUGUCAUUGAUUCACCCUUUAAAAUCUAAAAGGAAAGCUUCUUGAGUCUUCUUCUCUUGUGGAGGUUCUGGUAACCUAUAAAAGGAAAGCUGGACGUCCGAUUGGAAGUAAGAAGCCGCGACAAAACAAUAAGUCUGUCAUACCUCCGCAAAGCAUUCCUGUCACUUGGGAGGUUGGUACGUGCUCUUCUGAUAAGGGCAAAGGUAAGGCUUGAGCUGUUGGGUGUCCAAAUCCGGGGUGCCCAAAGUAGUUGGGCUUGGGUUCUUUUUGGGCCUGUGCUCGAUCCUUUGGGCCCCUAGGUUUGUUUGGUCCCGCAGUUUACCUAGCAUCUCAAUUUUAAUUUUUGAUAUUUAAUUCUUGGUAACUCUAGUUGUACACUAAUUGCGGUCUCUAAGCGACUAGUUUUACUUCCAAUGAAAGUUAGAUAGACACUUUGAAAUUCGGGUGUGUACGUAGGCAUAAUAAGUGAGCUUAUAUAUAUGCAGUGAGGGCUACCUAUCAGUUAGUCUGUUAGCUUGGGUUGAAUUCAAUAUUUGGCACAAGACGUUAGUUGAUGUAAGUGUUUUUUUGCCGUGGAUAAAUAAUAAAAUUAUUUAUUUAAAAAAAAAUCUAAAAGGAAAUAGAAAGGGUAGAAUUGAUAAUGCAAUAUUAUGAUUUAGAAAAAUAUAUUAUAUGGAAUUGAAAAUAAAUAUUUUUAUUUAUAUGACAUAAUAUAUAAGAUUAAAGCCACAAAUUUUAGGUCUCACCCCCUCAUAAUAUCAACGCCCUUAUUAUGUAUGACUCAAUAACUUAUUACUUUCUCACCUUUUUUUUUUCUUUGAUACGUACGUAGUUUUCUUGAAUUUCUUCCAAUACAUCAACAUGAUUAAUUCGUUUUUAUUGUUUUGGAUGAAGGUUUAACCAAGAUAACUACAAAGCCUAAGGAGCUGGGGUCCAUGCAUCUCGCCUUAUUCUAAAGGGUAGGAAGUGGCUGUUGAAGAUGCUCGAGGAGGAUGGUUUGCUAGAGGAGGUAAAUCCCUCUACUGAUUCUUCAGAAGCAAUGGAAGUGGUUGGCAAAGAGGUAACUCUGCCUCCAAAGAAGAAGCUUUCAACUGAAGUUGCUACAGUACAUGGAGAUGAAAAAGGCGGUAGUUAAAGUGGUGAACUCCACUUCGAUUAUUACAUCUGCUUGAUCGGGAGAUCGACAAGAAAAAUAAGAAUUAUGUUGACACAGUUUAUAACACUUCGGAGUUUUUAAUCUCUUUGUUUUUGGUUUUAUCUUCGUAGAAGGUGAGUGUAUUUGGAUUUAGCUAGGAUAGUUUGUGUGAGAAGCGUAUUAUGGGCAUGUCGUUAUUUGUAUUGUUUAUUGAGAUUCAUUAAUGAAUAACCUCUCUUUACCAAAAAAAAAAAAAAACGUCACAACAAUGGAAUCACGAGCGAGUUAAUUGGAGCAUCAGAUCGUACUUUUCUAUCAUCUAUGAUCACUCACAAUAUCAAAUUCCACAACGUUGAAAUUUCAUAAGAAAUGGGAACUUGUAGUACGUGUCUCUACGUACUUGCCUCAUAUGGUUACUUGCCCCUACUUGCUUUCUCUCAACAAAUAUUGUCAUACUAGUCCUCUCUUUUUUCUUUUUUUUUAUCACGUUUGAAUAUCCAGCAUUUAACCGUCCAAAAAUAAAAAUAAUCUUAAAAAUUUAUUAAGUACGUUUUAUCUAAAUUAAGUGUCUUUCUAGUAACUUUCGUUGAUGAUGAGAUUGAAUAUUAACAUGCACUCUAUGAUCACAUCUUGCUGAUUCAAGUGAAAAAUUUAGUAAAUCAACAAUCUGUUCGAUCGGUUAUAAUUAGUACUACAUAAAACAACAGUGAUUGAUUCGAUAAUAAAUCCCCUUAUCUUGAUGCCUUAUACAUAAGAAAUAAUUGGAGUAGUAGUUUAAUAUAUGAAUUCGUCAAUGUAGGUGCUGGAUAUUUCUCUAGAGCAGUUCGCAAAUGGUGAUGCAUGCUUGACGCGGAGCUAGCUCGAUCGCAAGUAGCUGGGAACACAAUACUGGAAUUUUCAAAGUCAUGCAGUAGCUUUGACUAUGAAGAUCAUGACUGAUGGAUCCGAUCGCCCCUCAUAAUAUCAGCAAUUUAUUCAUUUGUGUAAUACAAAGUCGGUCGGAAAUGUCUGGUACAAGAGCAAUCAAUAGCUUUGAGGAAAUAGUACAUCUUCAAAUAUGUGGCUAAGCCCUGCCCAUUGAUUUCUGAUCGAUUGUUCAUACGGAUGUCGAUCGAUGACAAUAUGUUGAGUGGCUAUAUAUUAAUUAGUGUUGUCUUGUUAAUUACCAAUUUUGUUCUUCUUCAAAUCAUCGUAAGAUAAAGUAUCUCGCUGGAUCAUUAUCGACAAAAUAUAAAGUCUUUAAUAUAUAAAGAGUAUUAGUUUGUUAAAUCUAUAUGUCAGUUCAAAUAUUGGUGAACAACAACAGAUCGACAACUAGAUCAUGAUCGAUCACGCUAGUUGGAUAUCAGAGUUUCGAAUGUGUGAUUCCCUUAAUUAAAAUCUUGCGAGAGUGCAAAGUACCUGAAACUCUGGUCACAUUUGUUUCGCCUUCCUUUCAUUCUUUCCAUCGUUCAUACAUUAAUCUUAUCAAUUUGUGCUCCACUACCCAACAAACAAUACAGCCUUCGUGUUUGUGUGCCUGGUAAUAUAUAAUGAAGAACUACAAUGCAUGUAUACACGGAUAUCGGAACUCCAAAUGAUCCUAAAUGAUUAAUUUUUUGCCAUCAUUUGUAAGGUCUUUAUCAUAUCGUGCGUGAUUGAAAGUCGUAUAUAUUCCCCCAAUUAGGGUUUGGAGUUAGCAAUUUAAAUUUAAAGAAAGAACAUUAGUUUGCAUCAAUACCAUUUAGUCUAGUGGUAUUAGUCUUCUAUUUGUAAGUAUGAGGUGCUAGACUCAUUGUAGCAUUUCAGUUAUUUGUUUGAUAAAAGAAAAAACAUUAGUUAAUUAAUCUAUAAUUAAUUUGGAGUUGAUUAAUCAAGAAUAAUUCAUGAUUUUAAUAAAUAAAUAUUUAAAUUCCUCUCUAACUUUAUGUAUCAAAUUUGAACGUUGGGAUAUGCCAUCACCUUGCUUGUACCAAACAAUCUUCUAUCUUAGUUUUAGUCAUUGCCAAACUCUGUCAGGUGUUAAUAAGGGAAUCAGAUCCUACGCCAUUCCCAUAUUAUAACCUUGAUCUGAUCAAAAACUCAAAUGUGAUCCAUUUUAAUAUGAAAUUCACACCCUGUCCCAUGUGUAACUCAUAAGUGCUCUUGCAAUAUAUUCGUGAAAAAUAACGACUUCAUGUUAUAUAUAUAUAUAUUGACCUAUCGCUACCUAGUGUGUAAGUUGUAUAGCAAUUAGCAUUUCAUUCUUUAAUUAUAAAUCAUUAAUUGGUCACUUUCUUCGAAAUUGGCAAUGGCAUUUCUAUUUGCUUAAUUGCUUGCUAUGUGAACUAAUCCUUAUCAUGCAUAGUGUGAUUAGCUAAUUAAAUAAAGAGUGCAUUGUUAAUUACAAUAACUGAUAAGCCAGCUUCAUAAGAAACAAAGUAUGAAUGAUAAGCUUUCAAUCAGUAUCAUUAACGUCUUAAAAGAAUGCGUUAGAUUGGAUUCUUAUGUUUUUGAUAUCGUUUAUUCAAACUUGCUGAAGGGCCAGCCUUUGCCGCACAGAUCGAACUUCUUCUAAUUGUAUUCUAAUUAGUUGAUUAGUCGUCUAUAGAUGUUCAUGUCAAAUUCGUAUAUACCUGAUAUGAACGCUCACAAUUGACCAGUUUGUUUCGUAAUCCAUUUUGUUAAGCUUAUUAGCACACACUCGAGUGAGGCAUCCAAAAUCUAUUUUCUUUAAUUUCCUUGCUCAAGUACGUAGACGAUUUGAUAUACUCCAAAUUACUCCAAUUAGUUUGUAACAGACUGUGGUCAAUGAAAUUCGCGUUUUUGGACAUUUGUAGUGAAAUUUUAGUUUUUUUCAUUCUUAUUUUACCAAACAAUGUGUCAUUCUCAAAUGACUUAUCUAAUAGUACUCACUAAUUGUUAGAUACUAUUGUAUUUGAAAAUACGAUUCUCGAUCAUUCACAAUUUGACAACUCAACAUAUGAACCGUAAGUAUAUACUCUUUUGUACUACUAACCCGACCUCGUUAAAUACUAGUUAUAUACCCGAACACAUGCUUGUAAGUGUGACGACUUUUUCGAUCGGUCCAGUCAGUACGUAGCCCUCAUAAGUUGUCAUUUACGAACAAAGCAUAGUUGAAUAUUGAGCAGACUACCCGUCACCAAUUUCUCAUACCAUAUUUGAUAUAUCCAUCCAUACAAGCCAAACCAGAGAAUUCAUACCGGUGAAAGCUACAACAUUACCUAUUCUAUACAUGGAAUCAUAUAUAGUACUAUUUUCCUCAGUACUCAUUCGUUUGGGGUCAAUGCCGCUGUUCAUACGCAAAGAGCAGCCACACGUAUACUUGCACAGAAACUUUGGAUAGAGGUUUGGUAUUCUUCUCGAGCUUGAUAUGUUGACGAUUCGAAAGAAGCGAAAGAUUUCCUGGUUGCUCUCUGUCUAUUUAUAUAAGAUCAACUCAGCUGGCUAGUCAACUCCCUUGAACAUCCGGCAUUGUAGUUUUCUGUGCUUUUGGAAAUAUGUUGAACUGAGCCACAAAGCGAUUCUGAUCUCUCUGUUUUUCGCCUUCGUAAAGUAGGCAGAGACCAAGUGUUUACACAGUGAAAGGGAAGAAAGAAAAGUCUUAAACCACAUGUUUAUGAUUCUAAUUAACUUAAUCUAUAAUCUUCAAAAUUCUGGAGCUAGACAGAUUCGCUUCCUUGUAUGCAGUUCUUUUGUUUUUGUUUUCCGAUAGUGGGUGUCAUUUCCAGCACUGAAAGGUUCUAGUUGAUGACAUCUUAAUCCAGAUCAUCAGAUUAUGUUUCUUUCAUAGAUAGAACUUAGAAGCUUCAUAUUUGACUUUGGAAAUAGGCCCUAAAAGAGCCUCAAUUUCAGACUUCGCUAGUCUUCUGGUUUUACUUGUAAAGUAGAAAGCUGCUUGAUGCUUUUCUCAGAUUCCUCUCCUAGCCGCAACAGUGACUGGGAAUUUUGACCCAUCUUGGAAUACAGAGCCCCUUGCGAAGCAGCUCCGCUCAUGAGUCCUUUCAUCCAUCUCGAAGACUCAAGAGAGAUAACUAGUCUGAAAAGAUCUAUCAUUAACAAGUUCACAAUCCCAUUGAGACAUUCCACAUGGAACUCAACAAACUUGUAUACUAGCUCUGCGGUAAGAACACGAGGGGAGAUAAUCUGGCCAAACAAUGAGUGUGGACUUUGUUAUGGUUUGGUAUCCCACAGUAGAACCAUCCAGCACGACUGAGUUAAGAAACAAAGUAAUGUUUGGACUCAAAGCACGUACUGCAGAGAGCCACAUAUGUUCCAAUAACUCCGUUUCAUCACAGUAUGCUUACACAAGGUCUAGAGACUUAUAGUUGGGGGUAUAGAAUUUCUACUACCAAAAAGACUAAAGAGAUGAAAAGAUGAACACAAACAAAUACUAAUUUUCAACAACAGGUCUAUUUUUCCAAUUAGAAUUACCCUAAUCUCUCAUGUUCCUUUAUUUCUUUGUCAACAAAAGAAUUAAAGGAUAGAAAGAGAGAGGGUUACAAGUAAUACUCAAACAAGUAACUAGUAAACGAUAGUAAUGCAUAAAAGUCCUCCUACGCAAAUUUACUUUCAACAUCCCACAGCAAGAAUCUAAAAAUCGUACACAUAACAGCUACAAGUUCAAUGAAAACUGACAAUCCCACUUUUAGACAUUAGUAGCGGUCAAAAGAAGAUGGGCGGCCUCCCCUGCUAGGGCGGUCGUAAGGGCCAGCCCUGCUACGGUAACCUCCCUCAUCUCUUGCUGGACCUCCUCUUCCAUAUCUAUCACUGCCACCUCUCACUCCACCAUCCCUGUCAUAGCCUCUGUCUUUUCCAUAGCCAUUUUGGGGGUAACGAUCAGAACCACCAUAUCUGUCACUAGCGAAACGAUCACCAGCUGGGUACCUGGAGAGAAUAAGUGCAGAAAGUACAGCAUAAGUGCAACUGUAUAAUUAAUUUUUUUUUUUCUCCCAUCACAUGUACAUAAAACAAAAUGUUUUAUUUAAGCAUUAAAGAAUAUAAAAGGGGGUCUGAAUGCACGCAACUCAAGUCUAUAAGCUAUAACCAUACAUAACGACAGAAUGGAACAAGUAGUGGAGAAGUAAUUGAUACCUGUCACUGACAUAGCGAUCACGGCUCCCAUAUUUGUCCUCCCUGCUGUCAAAACGAUCCCUAUCUCCAUAGCGCCCUCCAUCAUAACGGUCAUCCAUGUAGCGAUCAUGAUCUCCACCAAAGCGAUCCACACGCCCACCUCCCCCAAACCUAGAAUGUGAAGAGAAUGAACCUCCCCCUCCACCUCUUCCACCACCAGCAGAUGGGCAGUCUCGAGCCCAAUGUCCUGUACGCCCACACUUGAAGCAUUCAUCUUGGCCCACAGAUCUAUCACCACCUCCUCCAUAGCUUCUCCUGCCACCAGAAGAGUAUCCUCCCCCUCCUCCUCCUCCUCUAUAGCCAUGAUCAGAAUCUUCACCUCCCAUCCUGGGUUGGGCUUUGUUCACAGAGAUAGUGCGGGAACCCAAUUCCUGUCCAUGCAUCUCCCGGAUUGCAUCUUCCAUUGCUCGUCGAUCUCCAAAUGUGAUAAAACCAAAACCACGAGGACGCUUUGUAUCUCUUUCCAGCAUGAUCUGCAGAAAUUCUACAUUAGAGUGAUCAUACCCAGCGUCUACAUAAACAAAAAAAUUAGAGUGAUUUCUUCUCAACACAAUGAUACUUGCAAGAUUUGCAAGUUAGACAGAAAGAGCAUCAAACAACAAAAAUUAAGGAUGCAUUGCAUUAGACAUGUAUGACUCCACCACUCGGAAAAUUAAGGAUUCAUUGCAUUAUAAUAUGCAUUAUAAUUGCAUUCUACUAAUUCGAAGUAUCAAUAUGUAUAAUGUGAUACCACUGAACUGACAAAUGUGUUUCAAAGCAUGAUAAAUAAUGAGAAUACAAUUCAUAUAAUAUAUAAAUAGGAUAGAACAUUGCAAGUAGGGCAUGAUCCGGUUUAACUGAGAAUCUGAGAUUAACAAGCAAUUGAAACUAAACCCACACCGUAAACACACAUCUAAGAGAGGACAGGCAUUAUAAAUUAGACCAAUCAAGCAAUGAGUGAUUCAGAAUAUAUUUUAUCGUGCGAGUGACUAACUAAAGAACAAUAAAAUUGGAGACGCAAUAGGGAUUGUACCUAAAAUACGUUUUGCAACAAUCUAACUGGUAAUUAAAAAUGAGUUUAUACUUACUUUCCUUUUAUAAAUAUGGAUAACAGAGCACCAUUUCAUACUGGAAUAUUUCUGAUACUAGAAGAAUCCACAUCUGACAACAGAUGACCACUGACCUCGAAUUCCCACAACAUCAAAUGUACUGGUUCCAGCAUAAACUGUUCCAGCAUAAAUGCAUAUAGUCUCUACGCCCAGAACACUAUCACUUACACCAGCAGUUACAUCGACACCCCAAACAUCUGUCUUGUAGUCACAAAACCAAUAUUCUUCUGGCAAAGCUACACAGAUCAGCCAGAAAAAGGCAGCUCUUGCAGCAGUUGAUCUUUAAACUAUUCAAAAUUAACAACUUAUAAAUACAUCUAGUUACCCACGGCAGACAUCUCUACUCUGCAUACUAUGACCAACGUGUUCCAUAACUACAUGGCUCCAUCAGUCUUUCAACAAGUCAGAAACAGUAACCAAAACAUUCAUAAACAAGCAAGAUACUCUGUCCAAGAUAAUGCUGAUUCUCUUUCCAUCAACUAACCCUGAUAUAGUCAACACCUGAAAUCAUAUUUGUGUUUCUGGCUUUUUUGAUUUUUAGGAAAAUCCUACAAUUUUUAGUACUAUCAAAAAUUCGAACCCUCAGGUAUUAAGGAGUCUUAAAUCAAAGUUUCAACUAUAAAUACGCUAGAAACCAUCGAUAGAUAGUGAAGCAGUGAUGUUGCUGAGCUCAGACUUGUCCACACAAUAUGAUAAUCAAACAGAAUACUCCUUCUGACACUUUCAAAAGUGAAACUGAUCUGAAUGAUGACUCAAAAGACCAACAGACUGCAUUGCAAAAACGUGGUCAUAUGUGAACUUGCCAGACUGACAGUGUUGGAAGCCCCAGUGCUAAUGUCAAAAAAACUCUACAAGGUCUAGAUGAUCUUCAUUCCCCGCUAAACCAGCAUAAAUAGCUUAAUCAUCACAACAAAACAAUAAUAGCAGAUAAUAAGCAGUUCAAACAAAGUUCAAGUGCAAGGCUCAAAAGCAGCCCUAACUUCAAGUGUGCUCCUCAUUAGCAGAUGAGAGGAACCCAUUGUCAGCCAGAAACAGUUUAGAGUCACUAACCCAGACUAACCCCUCAAGCAUGAACUAACUAAAUCUGACACUUUGGAACCUCACCCAAUCAGUCAUCAGAAGUCUACUAUAUCUGAACAAAAAGUUAGCAAGAGACGACAAAAGCUUUGCGAUAUAGUAGCCACUAAGAAUCUGCCCACAUAACAGAUGAUUGAGUUGAAGUAGAUGACCCUCUGAAUUCUAUGAGAGCAGAAACAUGUGACAUGAAGGAGGAGGAGAAAUUAUCCGGCUCAAAGAUCUCUCAGAAGACAGACACAACCUUCACCGUCAUGUUUUGAAUCAAACCAACCAAAAAUAUUGGCAAGCUGAUAGAUAUAUGGGCCUUUGUUCUACUUAGAAAAAUAAAAUAAAAAAACUUCUUGCAGCAAAAGAACCAAAUCACUGGUUCAAGCAACAACCAUCUGAGGCUUCAGCACUCGAUGAAAAGAACCCAAAAACAGAAAGCAUAACUUCAGAGCAAGAAACUUCUCAUAUUUGACAUGUCAUCUGACUUGUCAUUUAGUCGUUUGAUCCUCUAAGCAAUACUUAUGGUCCAACUUCCCAACAUUACCACAGGACUUUCUUGUGGAACUCGCAUCUCUUCCAAGAGAUUAAACCUAAAAUUAGCUGCCUUGAACCAAACUCCACAAAUCGCGAGACCAUCUGCUAAUGUUUCUAUUUCCUGUCUUGAGAUCUGUAGUCCCAGCAGCUAUAAUCUACUACCAAAAACGACACACAGUCUGCAAACUCGAUGCGACCACUUAACAAAAACAGCUCUACGAAAUAUCCAUCAAUGCACGGCAUCAAAAGAUCAUAACUCCACAGAACAAGAAAACAAAAGAGCAUUAAUAUACAAAGAUAACAGCAAAGUAAAAUAAAGUAUCGUACAGAGAAUCAUCAAAACAGUAUCAAACACAUCUAUACAAUCUAUGUAGUGUACUAUAUCCAUACAAUCUCACUGCUCAAGAUCCCGAUACUACAACACCUUGCGUUUUGAACAGUAAAUUCACCAAAAUCAAAUCAAAAUUAAGCAUUUUACACUCCGAAAACCUUUGCAAGUCUCAAAUUUCAUUCCAACUUUAAAACCGAAAAUGUCAAAUUUUCUUUUUUGUUUCACAAAAUAGCACCGAAAUUCUCAAUCAAAGAAUCUAGCAGCAGAUCAAACGAGAGCCUCCAACUGAUUAACACAACCAAUCUUGAACCUUCUUUUACUAAAAUCCCUAAAUCGAACCCCGAAUUUCAGAAAGAAAUUUCAAAACCAGCAAAAAUUUUUCAUAAAGUUUUCAAGCAAAAGCAAAGAAGCUUCAACCUAUAAAGCGCAAGGCACACAAUUACAAGCGUCGGAGAACGAAUUGGGGGUUACCUGCGCUUCAUGGACUUUGCCAAAGCGAGCGAAGGCGCUCUCGAGCUCAUGCUCUGUGACUUCAUAGGCUAAACCUCCGACGAAGAUUCGGUACUCUUCUCUCCCGGCCAUCUCUCUCUUUCUCUCUUUCACUCUGUGUAUUUUGGUUUGUACCCAAACCCUAACCGCUUCGGCUUCUCUUUCUAUUGCCUCAGUCUUGCUUUGAAUUUCUUUUUCCCCUUUUCUUUUUCUAUUUAUUUACUUUGUAAAUUAGGAUAGGCCCCAAUUUUUGAGGUCCUUUUCACUUUAGUCCUCCAACUUUUGUUUUUUUUCUUUAGUGCUCCAAAAUAUUGUAAUUUUGUAGUAAGAGUUGUUAGAUUAGAUUUGAAUGAGACAUACAACUAAAUAUGACUAAUUUAAUGACUCAAUUAUAUAGUUUUAAUACUUCGGAGCACUGUGUAAUGUAAAGAAAAUCUCCAAAGCAACUAUAAAUCCCUCUAGAAUUUUGUGUCUUUUUGUAGAGAAUUGUAGUCUAAUAGUAAUUUUCUCUUCUCCAUCUUUGAUGUCAGGUCAAGUGACAAGUGUCGAGUUCGAAUCUCAGGGCGAAGCAAAGACAAGAAAGAGAAAAAAGAACUGAUCGAUCUUGAUUCAUUAUAGCAUUGGAGGAUGAAACAAUUGCAAAUAGUUACAGCUGUGAAAGAAUUACAUCAAUGGACAUACAUAAUUUACAGGGCUGUACAUGAAAUGGCACAGGUAUCAACAAGUGAUUGAAGUGUGAUCAACUUUCAGGCUUUUCAUCCCUACUUCUAUUGUUCUGAUAAAAGGGGGAGCCUAGUAACACUGCUACCACCACCCCCACCAGUUAGUGAUUUAGAGUUGGUCGAUUUUAUAGAACCGGAUUUUACAGGUUUUGAUGAACUCUUCUUGUUUAUCCUCAUGGGAAGAAUCUGCAACCUCGGAUUGCGCUUAGUGCCUGAAUUUUCAGCUGCCAACUGAUAACUUUCCACCAGUUCCAGCUGUCUAGCAAUUAUUUCGGAGCAUCUUGGAAGGAGCUCUACUGCCUCUCCACCAGGAAUUACAAUAUACUCGAUUGCAAGUCGAACCUCCUGACACAAACAAAAGGAAAUAUGUGGUACCAUUAAGCAGAUGAUAUAUGCUGACAGAUUCAAAAUCAGAAAUACUGAAAGCAAAUGUGGAGUUGCAUAGCGUACAACAGAGAGGACAAUUUCUCAGAAACUGCCGGUAGAGGUAUCCAUAGAAAAUACGUGGGAUGGGAAAGGAAAUGCACCUCCAAUGCAUCGAUCUCUUCUAAAGAUGGUUUUCUUUUGGGUGCAUCAUCUUCAAUUUCAAUGUCAAAGGAAUUAUUGACAAGCUGCUUUGGCAAAGAGCCAACUGAUUCCAUUUCAAGAAUCAUACGAACUGCCUUCACGAUUUGAGCCAUGGUAUUUGACUGCAAGAUAAACAUCAAAUAUGUGAGUGAGCCCCAGCAAGAUUACAGGCAUAUACAGAUACAAUACAUAGACACAGAAAGUCUAAACGGACAUUACCUUCAUGACAAAUACAGGCAACUGGUGAAAUUUUGCUACACUACGGAUCCAUGGGUUUUGCUUCAUUUCAGCACUUGAUGCUAUAAUUGCAUCUGCUGUUCCAAUAUCAUCAGAUACCUCAAUUUCAUCCUCAAGCCCCAUUACCUUUGCUACUUGCAGUAGGUCAGCUUCAAGGAUCUGCAAACAAACAAAAAUGAAGGGUCAAUUGAGAUCAUCUGCCUAGUCAGCAACUAUUGACAAUACAAGUUCUUAGGGGUUUUGGUCAAAUUACAUCCUUCAUGGGUGUAGAUUUCCAAUUAAAGCAGAAAGUGAACCAUGUGGAAACCAAGUAUUUUACCUUGUAUGUAUAUAUACACACUGGUGAACUUCUCUUCUUCGCAGAUUUAUCACUGCUCAAUCUUCUAGACACAUUGGGUGGAGGAUCUAGAUCUUCCUCGUCAGACUCCAAAACACUAGCAACUAUGUCUGUAGUAACAACAAAAUCUGAUGCUUUCAGAUAGUUGUGUUCAGAGAUUUGAGUAGGCAUGCAAGAGUCAUCAGCAUCAGCAUCAAUACGACGAACUUCAAACAAAGGAGAUUUCCCUAUAAGCCAGAAACCUUCAUAUCAGAUUAGGUGUUCCCUUACAACUACUCAAGUAAUAAGUACAGAUUCUAAAGGAGAAAAUGUGAAGUACCAGCUAGUAUAGCAUCAACUGUUGCAUCUAAUCUGUGAUGAACACGAAAUUCUGUUUUAGAUAUGAUCUCAACAGCACAUGUAAAUGUAGGAGGCCCCUUUCUUUCAAGAAUUGUCUUUUGAACUUUCCUCUUUCUCGCUUCUUCAUCUCCCAGGGUCACACUCUGCAAUUUACAUGAAGAAUUCCUUUAAUCUAUCAACAUUUCUUAUCCGGGAACUGCUUAAAUGGUAAUACCAAUAAUGAAUGAUCAUUGCACUGGAAAGGAUAAUUCAUACAAUAUGGCACCUUGCAGAAUUAAUGCCACUUUGUAUACCCUCUUUUAUUUGGUUAAUCACUUUGUACACUUACAAAAUGAUAAACUUGAUGCAUACCAGAAACACAAUUGAAAAAUGUAUAUAACUCCAAUUUGAAUGAAUAUAGAGUGGAUGGCAUUGUACCUCUAUGCCACCAACAAGGAUUUGUAAAGAAGGAUUCUUUAUGAUGUUGUCUAUUGUCAUUCCAUGUGCAGUUCCAACUAGUUGAACUCCUCUUUGGGCAAUAGUGCUGGCAGCCAAUGCUUCAAGCUCUGUCCCAAUUUCAUCUAUUAUAAUGGUUUGAGGCAUAUGAUUUUCAACUGCUUCAAUCAUAAUCUGCACAAAAGGAAAGGGCAAAAGAGAUUAUACAACCAAAUGAGUUGCAAAAGCGUAAUACUACUGGGGAACUAAAGCAACAGUGACAGAAAUGAGCCCUAUAAUCAAUGUCAACACUCACAUUAUGCUGCAUGUUGACAUUAGGAACUUGCAUCCUCCUUGCACGGCCUAUUCCUGCAUGCGGAACAUCUCCAUCUCCUCCAAUCUCAUUAGAUGUAUCCACUAUUACCACACGCUUCAUAUGCUCAUCUGCCAACAUUCUAGCAAUUUCUCUGCACCAACAACACAUCCAAACAAAAUUCAGAACAUCUUCGCUCUUUGAUUCCAGGUCACAGUAGGAAAACAUCAAAGUAGUACAUAUACCUGAUCAAGGUCGUCUUGCCAACUCCGGGAGGUCCUAUCACCAAGAUUGAACCUCCACCCUCAACCAAGUCGCGGAUGACCUCGGCACUCCCUGACACCGCUCUCCCCACCCGGCAAGUAAGUCCAAUGAUUUGCAGCUUUCGGUUUCGAAUAGCACUAAUACGAUGUAACGAGUUAUUAAUUCCAGAACGGUUAUCAUCCGAAAACUCACUAACCUGCAAACAAAACAAAAUUUCCAAAAUCGAAUAAGAAAACAUACCAAAAAAAAUAGUUCCAUCUUCAUCAAUCAACUUCUAAGUAAGCAUAUAAAAAGUUGCAGUCUUGUUUAAAUUGUUUAAAUAAAGUGAUUAGUUACCUACUAAAGAAUUAAACCAAUAAUUAACACCGCUAACCACCAAAAUGGCUUAAUUACUAUUUCUAGAGAACAAUUGUCACAGUCUUUUAUCACCUUAGAAACAGCGAGCCGGAGAUCUUCAUGGCUGACCGGAGUCUCCGAGAUCACCCAAUCACCGGUCGGAAACCUCGCGAUCGGAGGCCGCCCCAAAUCCAUCACAACCUCAAUGAGCUUCCCGAUCUCCUCAUGCCUGUACAGCUCGCUCUUCAUCCUCUCCGGCAGCAGCUCCAGAAACAUCUCCAUCUCCGUCCGCGACGUGGACGCCGAGCUCCCGGAACUCGAAGACGGAGAGUUACCGGAGAAGAACCGAUCCGAGGGGCGGCGAAUCUCCGGCGCCGGCGAGGUGGAGGAGUGUCGGGACGAAGCGAUUGACUUGUGCGCGCCACGUGUCCGACGAAAUGAGGAGGAGAGUUUGGAGGUGUGGAGAUAGCAGAGGGUGGAGAUGGGGAUUUGGUUGGCCGAGUGCCAUGAGGUCUGGAGAUCGAGUAGCACCAAUUGCGAGCUCAGAGCUCUCAUUCUGUUACAGACUGGGAUUUUGCUUUGAUAAUUUUUUUUUUUUUUUUUUAAGCUAACGAUCGGCGAGAAGAUUCGGGGGUAUCUCCACUGGGAUUGGAGCAUAUUUUGGAGGGAAGAUGGGGCCCACUAACCAAAGAAGUUCAUACACGUGGGGGCUGCUUCAACAGCCACACAAUUUUCCUCACCCUCCUUUUCAUUUUCAGACAAAAUAGAAUUCUCGAAAAUUUGUAUUUCUCUGUUCCUUGGUGUAUACGAUUGUGAAAAAUACACACUACACUGAGUACACGUAUAGAUUAGUCUGAUUCUGCUGAAAUAUUUUCAUGAAUCUCGAUGUAAAUAAUUAAAUACUGACGUGGUGGCUGUGUUGAUCAAGGAUAUAAUUGAAGUAGCUUGAUAUCUAAUUUUAACCCAAGUAGCUGAUAUCUAAUUUUAAGAAGAAAGAAAACAAGGAUGAAAAAGAAAAAAAUUGUAUGAAAGGCUGGAUGGCAAAUCCCAACACGCUUCCAGUCCUAUAGGAAUGGUCCGAAUGUGAGUAGGAGGAAAUUUUGUACUUAGUUGACGUUGGAAACUAUCAACUUGAACCAAACUAAAUGAACAUAAUUUCAGCCGUGCAAGGUUGGGGCAGGUCACUGACAAAGACGGCACCGCUGUGGCUGCUGACUAUUUCGGAAACUCAUACUAUGGUGGAAGAUCAAAGAGAGAAAGAAAUGCUAAGCAGUUGGCAUCUACUAAGAUGGCAAGUUCUAGGAGCAAUGCAAGUCAAGGUGGGAGGUAUGGGGGGUUAUGCAACUGAUAAACGGUCAUUUAUUUAUGCACAUUAUACGGUUUACACUUCAUACUCGGUUAGAGUAUUGCUGCAAUAUAGGCUUGAGGCUCAGAAACUACGCUGUACAUUGAUAAGGAUGGAAGCUGCUGACUAAAUUUGGCGCAAUCUAUUCCCAACCCAUCAGUAUAUUUCUUACACCUUCCUCGAUUUUGUUCCUUGGCACCGAAGGACAGAAUCCUUCAUCUAGCAGGAAUCUGUAGACCUCCCACUCCCGAUCUCGGAUCAUGUGUCUCACUAUCUCAGCCUGAAACAAGUUGGUAAAGAACACAAUGAAUGGUAGAAGGACGAAUUAUGUUGGAUAUCAAACCAAGAUGUAGGAUAUCACUGGAAUAAGACACUUAUAGUGGUGGUUAGAGCUAAUACCGAGAAGAUGCGUGUGCUCAGAUCUUUGAGGGCAAGAGUAAUGUCAUAAAAGACAAGAGGCCGGCCCCUGCCGGACAACUCAACCGGGUUUGCUACCAACAGCUCGGUGUCAGGGCCGCGGUUCACCACAGCCACACGAAGCGGACACAAAAGCUCCGCUCUCAAGCGAGAACACAAGGCAUCUUGCUUCUUGCUGUCAACAAUCUUCUUGCCAUCUGGUUGCACUACAAACAAGUCCAGCUCACAAUUCCCUUUUGUGUUCUCAUAGAAUCGUCCAUAAGAAACCUGAUAUUAAACCCAUAUUUUAUAUACAAUGGUCAGUAUUAUUCACUAAUAUGGUAAAUCACAACAACAACAAAGAGGAGGACUAAAUUGAAUUUUAUCAGCCAAAAAAGGCUAGAAGCACUGGCAUGAUACAAACCUUUUGCUCGCCAGAACUCACUACUGAUUAUAAAUAUAUCAAUUAUACCAACUUUACUUUACAUACAUCUCUCUAGUAUGAUUUUACCUGAACUCCUUGACCCAUGUAAAGUUUAUUGAAGUUUUAUUAGGAGAUUGAGAGCAUACAUCAAGCAUUUAACGUCAAACUAAUUAGUUUCUGCAUACUAACAUCUAUAUUAACAACAAUGACAUGUUUGAUGUGAGAAGGUAAAAUUGUGAACAGACCCUAAAAUUUUAUUUCUCCCCAAAAUUACAUAGCUUAAAAAAGAUGUACCUGAAGGUUGCAAUCCUUUAGUGUUCUCAUGAUGUCAUACACUAGACCUUUAUGAUCUGGACAGAAUAUUUGAACUAGUGUGUGAGAUGGGCUGAGGUUAUUGUCCACUGUUAUCGAAAUGGGAAUGGAGGCAAAAGGUCUUUUUAGGUGGCCGUUGGUCCACUCCAAACUUAACAUUUCUUCAGUGAUUUCAGAAGGAAGAUAAUGAGAACCCUGUGAACAUGCAGUAACUUUUGACUCGGCCAAUUCAAUUUCACAACCCAAUAAGACAUUCCCCAAGACAGCUUUCAGGCAAUGAAUUGUUUCAUCUUGCCGUCUUUUUGUAUGCAGCAGUUCUCUGAUUGAGAAAGAGAAAGAAUAUGAUUAGCCAUAUCUUAGGAGGAAAGAUGAAACAAUCUCAGAACUGACCCUCAACUGAUGUGCCCUCACACAGACACGAUGAUACACUAACACCUAGACCGGUAUAUAAUAAUUGCAAAAACAAGUUUAAAGAACCUAACUGAAAAUAUUUUGCAAACAAAAAUUGAAGGAACCAUGUUGAGGAUCUGUUUCUCUUUUACUCUAGAAUGAAACUUGAGAAGUAGAUAUACCAAAAAAAGAAAGAAAAGGAAAGGCAGAAAUGAUGCACCAUAUAUAGAUAGGGAAAUAAUGUCAAGAGUGACAAACCUGGUAUCUGUAACAAAAAAAAGGUCCAUCACUUUCCCAUCUGGGGUAGUAGACACCUUCACUCUCUCUAUUGUGAGUUCAAGCUCACAAAGAACCUUAGUGACAUCUAUUCAGUAAAAAGAAUCAAUAAUAAUCCCAAACUAAAAAUAUAUAGAAGUAUAGAUGGCACUUUUUUCUCAGAUAUAGAUACAUCGAAACAAGUAGGGUAUACCAGGUAAAGGAAAUGAAAGAAAAGACACAGAUAGAACCAUCACUUCUACAUUGAAGUUGCCAAAUGGAUAUGCACCUCAUUAUUCAUUCAACAUGACCCCUAGUUUGAUUUCUUUUCUCUAAAUGGGGAUAAUACAAUUACUGUACUCAUCUAUGCAUAAAAAUAGAUCACAAUGUUAAAGCUUUAAAUAGGCCAGUCUGAAGAAUAGUUUAUGAGUAACCUCAAUCAAUUUCAUAAAUUACUAAAUUUGGUAAAUUUUAGUUUAUACAUUAUGAGGGAAAUAAAAACUACUGAUAAAGCUUACAUCCUCGUAUACUGUUAUACAUAGAAAUCAAUUAUUUUCAGUCAGUACUCAGAUAUAGUCUAUAGUCUAUAUGAAGAACCCAAAUUGUCAUCAUUAUAAAGAUCACCGACUCUCUCUCUCUCUCUAUCAUCAUAACAAAAGAAGUGAUCUUUUCCAGCUCAAACUGUUACUAGGAUAGUUGCAUUGAAGAUUGAGAAAGUGUGAUGAAUCAUUUAGCAAGAGCAAACAACCGAAACAUUACUGUUAGAACCCAAAUGACAAAAUUCUCUAAGUCUUGUUCAUCUAAGUAAAAGUAAGCUGUGAAGAAUCAAUUCAGAGUGAACAAGUAAUCAUGCAAUGACAAUCUUGGAAAUGAAAGUUUACCAUGCAAUAGGCCUUCCUGUUCAUAAGAGCACCAGAAUUUCAAAAGGAACACAUCUAGUGGCUUCGGCUGCUGAUUCUCCGGCCGAUAAUAGUAUAUCCCAGAAGUGGUAAAGUAUGAUGGACACACUUCUAACAAUCUCUUUGUCAGCAAAUUCCACCUAGUCUCCGGCUUUCCCACCACCCAAAACACUAUGUAGCACCAUUUUCCGUCGGUCGAAACAUCUUCAACACAAAAGCAACAAAAAAUGUUCACUUUCAUCAAAACAGUAUUGAAUUCUACUAAUUUUCCACUACAAAUUCUAUGAUCCAUCAAGAAUGCCUUACUUUCUGCUUUACAACAAAAGAUCCUAAACUGAAGACUCAUUCUUUGUGUCUCUCUAAAGCUCGGAUCGACCAAUUAGUGUUUCAGCAAACUUCAAUAAAAUUCAUUACAUGCAUUCUCAAGAAUUUCAGAUCCAAAUAGUAAAAAACUUUUCAAUGUUCAAAACAAACCACACCACUUUCCCAGCUCAAAAUAAAAAACCACCUCCAGAAAAACCUCAAAUUACUCAGAAAAACAAAGCAAUCAAACCAAAAGCUUAAGAAAACCUCACCUCCUCUGCAAAUGCUCAGCCCAAACAACAAUAUGACCCUGCACAGAUCACAGCCUAACCCAGUUUUGUCGGGGCAAUUCACAGUGACCACAGUGGGAUCUCCAGCCUUCUCUCCCUGGCUAAUCACUACCACGUCCUCAUGCAAAAUGCCCAUUCCCGCCAAGUUCCUCUGUUUUUUUUUUUUUUUUGUUCUCUGUUUUCCGGUGACCAGAAAACUGAGCAAAAAGAUACCCAAGUUGGGUCUGGUGGGUAUCUUCCGAUUCUUGCUCUUGUUUUUUAAUGAGCAAAAUUAGUGGGAGAUUCCAAAUAAUAGAGGAAGAGUUUGAGAUCAGAUAGAAUCAUCCAGAUAGAAGAUAACAGAUGAUGGUUCUGUUUACUUAUGGAAUAUCAAUUUCUCAUAUUUAUCGGUGGGAGAGACUGAGUGAGAGACAGAGAUUAAAGUCUUCGAGACGUGGUGAGUAGGUGGACUCGAGUAUAGUUGAGACUGAUUUUCAAAGACAACUUUUUCGGUGUUGGUUUCCGACCGUCCUUAAUUUUCUGCUAUUUCAUGAAAACUAACAAAUAGAGUUUGGUGAAGUUCAAGUGGACCGGAAUCGUCCUACUAUAGGGGAACACCAUUAAUCAAUUUUGUUUUACAUGAUUUUGUUAUAAAUGAAAAAGAAUUAUGAUUAAUGAUACAGUCAUGAUUUAUUAGUAUAAAAUCUUAAAAAGGAAAUGGCCAUUAAGAAAUUUUUGGUUUCUAUAAAAAAAUAUGUCGACGGCAAGUCCCCUCAUCAUAUGUGGAAAUUGCGAAAUCGGUAGGUUAUUUAUGAUAUACAUACAUGGAGGAAGAUGCUACCGGUUCGUUGGGAGGUGGCAGAGAUAGAGAUCUAGUUUCAAUUAGUGUUGAAUGCCCUUUAUUGUUUCGAGUCAAGGUAUGAUAUUAGACUUACUAGUAGGUCAACAUAUUUAUGAGUUGACUGAAUUAUAAGCUGAUUUCAUGUCUAGUUACUCAUGUUGCUCUUAUGUCAAUACGGCUCAUGAUUCAAAAGUUCAUUAUAAGUAACGUUGCGAGCCUCCGUUGAGAAGCAAAAGAACCUAAGAAAAUUUUGAAUUCAUCGGUAUUUUAGAUAAAAUCUCAACAGUUCAUUUCUGACUAAUUUGGUGCUAAUCUCUUAUAGGGCUGAAUUCAGACGUUGCAUAAUGUGAUAUGUUGAAGUUUACGUAAGAAACUCGUAUGAAUGACUAUAAUGAAAAAUGCACAAAGGAGUACCAUAGUUCCCCAAAUGUAGACCAACAUUACGAAAAGGAAGGAAAACCUUCACCGAACACAUUUGAGAAAAGCACCUCACGCACAACUUGAUCUAGAGUGAGAAAUUGAAAAAUGUUGAAAAAUUAUUCUUGAUUCUAAUAUGCCAUUCUAGAAGCUCCAAAAGCUAGUGAGGUCAUGUAUGAUAUAACUUCGCAUGUAAAAAAAUCAGCUUUUUAUUCAAAAAAUUUAGAUUUUAUAGUGUUUAGCAAAUUAAUGAAAAUCAGCUUUAAAAUAAAUAAAUUACAUGUUAUUGCAAACGCUUUAAGAAACAAUCAGAAUGUUACUUUUAGAAGCUAUUGUCAAUAAAAACACUAAAAAAUAUUACAUUUUGUAUCUGCAUCAUUUUUAGAACUACUAUUACUAAACACAAACCAUUUUAAUUCAUAACUAAUUAUUUUCGUAGUACAACAACUACAUUUUUUCUACUUCUUAAAGUCGCAAUAACAAACUAACCUUGAUUUGAGUUCAAAUUUCCUUAUUUUCACUCAUCCGGGACUUAAAACGUGAAAUAUAAAUUACGUUAUAUGACAUGACACCGAUCCGUAAACGAGUCGCAAGAAACUAUCUGCUACACAUGUCUUUUUUUACAACAAACGGUCAUAAUUCGUAUGACAACUAAAGUUGUAUUGUGCUAAACUAACCCAUAUCUUAGCAAUUCAUGUCUUGUUAUCACACAAUAUAAGAAUGCAAAAAGUCAUAAAGAAACUAGAAAGUUUUGAACAAUUCUUCUACUCCCAUACUAAGCACUUUAGAGUUGUUUCAAAAUGUUUCGAUAGAGCGCGUCCUAGUGACCGACCCUAGCAGACUUGGAGGAGUAUGUUGUGGGAGGACAUAUAUUACAAUAUUGAAGUUCUUCCUAGAGAUGGAGCUCCAAAGACCCAUCUUCGUACCAGCAUCAAGGUUGUGUGAAUCAUCGACAUGAUUAGAAAAAUCCUCCUUAGUUGGAGUGCGGAGAUCGCUCUUCUUGCAGCGGUACACCGACGAAUCAACACAAUCAUGAGAUAUCUUUUGACGAAAGCCUGCAGCUUCUCACUUGGGAGGUUAGUAAACGAAAGCUUACUCUUAUGAGCCAUCCUCUUCUUCUCUCUUAUUCAUCCACUGAGAUUCUCUCUUCUUAAAUAACAAAAUUAUCAUUGAAAUAUCGGCGAUUUAAUCUUUACACAACAUGAGAAUAUCUAAAUAUUGCAAUAUUUGCGCGAAACUCACGAAAUCUUGUUAAUAAAUCAGCCCAUUUCUCUUUAUUGAGAAAUCGAAGAAGCUAUCCAAAAGGUUUUGCCAAGCCUACUCGUAUAUAUGGUCAUUAACUCGGCCCAAACUUAUGAAAUUAACACUAAAGUCUUGGCGUAGCGUAGGUAACAUGAUUCGAACCCAGGUUGUCACAUGUUAUAUCUCACAUUCUCAACCAAUCCUCUUAAGUCUUAAGAUACACUUAAUAGUCUAUUAUAUAAACUCUACAUAUAUUUUCACACUUUUAAACUUUCCUUUCGAAAUUUUAUUAAUAUCACUAUCAAAAUAUCUAUUUUUCUGACAGUCGAAAUUUUCUCGAAACGCGAUAUUUUAGUCCUUAAUUUGAUGCCUAAGCUACUUCGCUCCUCCAAACUGGGCCGGUGUUGGAUCAAACAAACAGAAACUUGAAAGGAGGAGAACGAUACAAGUCAUACAACUACGUUGAUUUUAAACAGAAACUUGAAAAGAGAACGAUACAACUACGUUGGUUUCUAACCCAAUGGAUGCCUAUGUUUGGGCCAAUAUUCCAUUUUCCUUUUUAAUAAUUUUUUUUCUUUCUAGCAGCUAGACAGCUAGUUAACCAAUUGUGAAGCUACACAACUAGGACUUGCAGCGGAAAACGACUACCACGCGUUGCAUGGAGAGGUUAGGUCCUGCAUGCAACUCCGCCGCCCGUAAAUCUCCUACUGACAGCUCUACCCCUCGAUUUGCAGAUACCGAUGUAUAACCCGAGGACAAAACGGUAAUCGUUGAUACUCCGAGCCGGACAUAAAACCAUCCAAGAACAAAGAAGAGAACCACCACCGGAAAAAUGGCCGGACCACCUCUACCUCCACCUCUUCUAACGUGUUUGGUGGGUGUUGCAGUCUUAAUCUGCGCACUAACCCUCUGUGUUGCCCUAGAUGUCAGCCCCCAAGACCCAAUCAUCCACCAAGUCACAGACCAUGAUACUAAUAAGCUCCUUGGAACCGAAAAAGAGUUCAAGAUUUUCAUGGAGAAGUAUGGGAAGAAGUACCCUACUAUGAAGGAGUACAUGCACCGCCUCGGUGUUUUUGCCAAGAACAUGAUCAGAGCCGCCGAGCACCAAGCUCUGGAUCCGACGGCGGUUCACGGCGUCACGCCGUUCUCGGAUCUGGAGGAGGAGGAGUUCAAGAGGAUGUACACCGGCGUAAGAGGUGCGCCCGGCUUAACCAACGGCGGAGGCGGUGCGGGAAGCACGGUUGAGCUUCUGGAUGUUAGCGGGUUGCCUGAGAGUUUUGAUUGGAGAGAAAAAGGAGCUGUUACUGAGGUCAAGAUGCAGGUAGUUAAUGUUACAGUUUCUAAUUUUCGUUUUUUUAUUAUUGUUUUUUUAGGUUGGUACUACACAAUAUAUGUGAUUAACAGUUUCGGACCGUACUUAAAUCCUAGCUUAUUGCAAAUCAAGUUAUGGCAAAUACGAUAUAGAAUUCUCGUAGCUGGUUGUAAAUUACUAAAUUGUGUAAUCUGAAGUCGAUCAGCUGAUCAGGUGCUGCUGGUUCUUUUGUUUAAUUGAUUGUAUAACUAGCUUGUGUUUGAGAGUUUGAAGUUUUGUACAGAAAGAUUUGUCUAAUGGAGCUAGGGUGUUUGUGGAACACGGAAUUUUUCUUCAGGCAAGGCGUUGUAUUGUGAUACUUAAAGCCUCUAAAUCUCUUGUUAUGGAUGCAGGGUGGCUGUGGGUCAUGCUGGGCCUUUAGCACAACAGGAGCUAUUGAAGGAGCCAAUUUCAUUGCCACUGGGAAGCUUGUUAGUCUCAGUGAACAGCAGCUUGUUGACUGUGAUCACCAGGUAAUUAAGCCUAGCCUCUCUGGAAUAUAUUGAAGUACUCAUUUAACUUUAGGGCGAUAAAAAUUUAAUUGAUUGAGCAUAUAUAUAAUAUUUGGCAUGCCUACUUAAUUAGUUUCGUUUAAUGUUUGUGGCAACUAUAAUCAAGUGUGAUGCAAAAGAGAAAGAUGCAUGUGAUCGUGGUUGUGGUGGCGGACUUAUGACAAAUGCCUACAAGUAUCUAAUGGAAAGCAGGAGGGGUUGCAAAGACGAGGUUUCAUACCCUAUACGGGGGAAAAAAGGGGCGAAAUGCAAAUUUAAUCCCUGAAAAAAGUAGCCGUGAGAGUAACCAAUUUCACCACUAUUCCCCUUGAUGAGAAUCAGAUUGCAGCGAACUUGGUCCACAAUGGUCCUCUUGCCAGUGAGUACUAAACCUGAUAAUAUGCUUAAAAAUAGCUAGGCUUUUUAUGUAUCUAUGUGUGCGUACAUAGAACUGCCUUAAGUGUCUUAUUUUCUGAAUAUGAUGUGCACUGUUUAGCAUAUUUAGAUCUGAGUGUAGAUACACCCCACUGAUACAGAAUCUUAAUUGAUGUAUGUAUGCGCAGUUGGCUUGAAUGCUAUGUUCAUGCAAACCUACAUUGGCGGUGUGUCAUGCCCUCUUGUUUGUUUCAAGAAAUGGGUGAACCACGGUGUUUUACUUGUUGGAUAUGGUGAGAGUGGCUUCUCGAUUCUCAGGCUCAGCAACAAGCCGUAUUGGAUCAUCAAGAAUUCAUGGAGCGCAAAAUGGGGAGAACAUGGUUAUUACCGACUUUGCCGAGGCCAUGGCAUGUGUGGGAUGAAUACUAUGGUGUCUGCAGUUGUGACCAGUACUCGGGCAUCCUAGCUGCAUCUCCCGAGAUUAGCUAGUAUACAAUUAUACACUAUAAUAUAUAUAUGCACCUCUCCCUUGUUUUUUCUUAAUCCGAAUUUGAUGUUCCUAUAAUCAUAUUUCAAGAAUAUUAUUGUUAAUAUGCCGAAGUGGAAAGUCUUGUUUACGUCAAAACCAAUUCGAACCAUAUUAUGUUAGCUUUAAAUGCUAGAUUGUCAGACUUCAAAUUUAAGUCGGGAAAAUUUUACAAUGUGUUAAUGUAUGUCAUGUAUUAAUUUUAUCCUAAAAUUGUAAAAUGAGUCUCUAAAAUAGUAAUAUUAGUACUCGAAGUUGUAAUAUAUAUGAGUAGUUGUAAAUUUUAUAGUUACAACAUUAGUCAUCAUGUGUCCUUAAUGUGUCUUUAAAGUAAAUUUUAUAGUUACAACAUUAGUUAUCAUGUGUACUUAAAGUGAUAAAUUGCGUGCUUAAAGUCGUAAUUGAAUCCUUAAAGUGAUUAAAAAAAGUUUUUAUAUCUUUGAGGAUUUGUAUUACAACUUUGAGGACUCAAUUACCAUUUUAAGGACACAUGAGGAUUAAUGUUGUAACUAAUUUUUUUUACAACUUUAAAGACUUAUAUUACAACUUUGAGGACUAGUUAAUAUUACUCCCGUAAAGACUCGAUCAUUUUAUAACUUGAGGACAAAGUUGAUGCAUCACAUGCAUUAACACACCAAAGUUGAUUCUCCACAAGCUUGUUGAAGAACUUGGUAGAAGUUUUGAUUUGUUGAAAGGCUUGAAGACGAGGGUUGAUCAAGGGCCGUAGAGGGUUGACGUUGAUCGAGUUUGGGCCACGAGCAGUUCCAUAUGGUGGUUGCUCUUCGUCUUGUAGUUGGUGAAGAUGUCUGCUAUUUAGCAAUUUGGGACUCUUUGGGAUUUGGCAACUUCUAAGCUUGAGAUUGAUGAAGAAUCGGCUAUUUGGCAACUUGAUGAUUCUUCAACGGUUUUGGGAGAAUUCUGAGUUCUCGGGAGUAAUUUUUUUCUCUUGUCCGGAAGUCCUUAUCUUGAUAUGAGAGGGGGUAUUUAUGGUGUCGAUGCUCCUCCGUAAAUAGAAUGCAUUAAAGUCACAACUUUAAUUGUAUUUCCUUAAUGAUAUAAUUAAAUCAAUCACUUUUGAUUGAUUGAUUCAAUUAUUCAAUUUACUAUAAUUAAAUCAAUCAAUCUUAAUUGAUCGAUUUAAUUAUGACCGAUAAGGUAUUUCACCAAUUUGAUUAAAUUCCGACUUCCUUUUCGAUAAUCGAUUUGAUUUGAUUGAUGUUUGAUUAUCGAUUGACAUUUAAUAUUUGAUUUUAGUCGGGAUUGAUGAUUUUGUUGUCGACCGACCAUUAUCAAGCCGCCAUGUGUUAUUUCCGAAGACUUUUCAACUUUGCUGACUCACGAGCCACGUAUGUAAUUUGUCAGGCCCAUGGGUUGUAUGAAUAAUUUAAUAAUUAUUAUUCUCAUUAAAUUUUAUGCGUCUACAAAUACCCCCACUUUAAGGUGUGUUGUAGUCAUGUUGUUGUCACGUGUCAGAGGUGCGACUUGAAGUUAUUUUUGAUGACACUUGUGGCGUGUUUUGCCAUCCACUCGUUUUUACGUCUGAAAUAUUGGUCCGUACCAUGAUGACAUUUUUGUUGCCUUUGAAAUUUGUAUUUUGAACGCUUGAGAAUCAUGCAUUGCGACCUUUCCAUAUGUUUAGAAUACAUGAGCAAUUUGCAUGCUUAGUGGAUAUGAUCUUCAUUUGAACAACUUCCAUACGUGGCUUUAAAUUUACCCGUCUCGCAACUAUUUUCAAUUGGUAGGAUUUGAAUGAGAGAUGAAAGCUUUUCUUUUCUUUUCUUAUCGAUUGAUGCGUGGCUGACAUUUCCUUCAUUGGUAUAAAUAAUUACCACCUUCUAAAUGAGUUUGGUCUUCUACAAGUAAGAAAUCGUGUAAUGGCUUGAUGACUUCUUGACCAAAUAGAAAAGUGAACGCAUGAUGACAUUAUAAAAUUGUACUGUAGGGUUUUGCCCUAAUCACUGUAUUCUCUUCCGUAGCUAGCCGCCCGCCCGUACUUCUUGUAAUUCUUUCUUCCUUCUUCUUUUUCUUUUUCUUUUUAUUUUUUUAUUUUACUGUAGGCCUCAGUCGUGAGUGAAGUUUGGUACGAAAAUAGGUCCAACCUUGUACCGCGAACUUGACAACGAAAUUGUGGAGGCAGGAUCAAUGCGAUGGUGCCAUGCAAUUGCGUUGUCGUAAUCCUCUCUAUUGUUUGAUUAUUGAUUUUACUAUCGCAUGCCUCCAUGCUUACUGACCCAUCCUUAUGCAUAGUGUAGUCGAUAUAUUUUUUUUCAGUUGCGGCUGAAGGGUCAUCUUUUCGGCAAGCACAGUUGAAGAAAACCCACGAGGUACGCACAGUUGAAGAAAACCUUCGAGAGACCAGAGCCUUGAGGUACUACUUUUGUUUUAGUUGAUUUUCUUAAUCCUUUGGCUUGUCCAUAUGCUUUCCGGAAGGAAACAAAGAUUGUCAAGAGUGACAACCCUCGUUUUUCAUGGUGGGUGAGCUUACUCUUUAAUCAACUUUGAUUGUCAUCUCAUUAUGCAAAGCGGCAAUUUUUUUUCUUCGCCAAGUUCGGCAGCAGCAUGGUACUAACUCUUUUUUCUAUUUUUCUUUUCAGAAUUUUGAUGGCAAAUUGAAGAACGCGAACACCUAACCGCUUGGUUUCUUUUACGUCUUGGACGUGAGAUAAACCGUUGAAAGUGUUUAGGCUUUACGUACCCUGACAGUAAUUGAAGAACAAGAACACCUAACCGCUUGAUUUAUUCCACGUUUAAGAUGUGGGAUAAAUUGCUUAAAGUGUUUAGGUUUUGCGUAGACGUAUACUAUUCCGCAUGGUGUUCUCCAAGAGUUUCAAGAAGGACACAAACAUCAUCUUUGAAGAUAUCGAGGAUAUUGAAAGUGAUGGCACCACCUCUCAUCUAAGCUCGCUCAUCUCUAACAACUUCUCGCUCAUCCUUGAUUUAACUAAUAACUUUGAGAUCAUGGGUUCAAACCUCACAGACAUAUGUAAGGUGCGUGAGUUAUUUAAUAAAAGUUUUUUUUUUUUAAAGAGCUCGCUCAUCAUGAUUUCACCUCUGUGAGCUUCGAGAAAUUUUUAAAUGCUACGGGAGGACCAUGUGGCAGUCUAACGUGGUCCUACGAUCCAAUCAAAUUUAGACAUGUGGAUUUUUUACAACUAAAAUAUAAACAAAUAUUUUCUAUUUUUUGUGAAAUGACAUUCAUGGGUAUUUAGCAAGUUCAAAUUAGGGUCUAGGGUAUAGGGUUUAAAGUUUAGGGUUAGAGUUUAGGGUAUAGGGUUUAGGGUUUAGGGUUUAGGGUUUGGGGUUUAGGGUUUAGGGCUUAGGGUUUAGUAUUAAAAAAACAACAAAAAAUCUAAAAUGGUCUUUGACAAAAUAGCUGAAAUAAUUUUUCGUAAAGAAAAUCUACAUGUCUAAAUUUGAUUGGAAAGAAGGCCCACGUCAGACUGCCACGUGGUCCUCCCGUAGCACUGAAAAAUUUCUCAUGAGCUUCAUUGACGUUUCUUCAACGUGGUGGUUGAUUCAAUUAUUUAAUUUACCAUAAUUAAAUUAAUAAUUAAAUUCAGUUUAUCUCUUUAAACUUUAAGUCGAAAAUUAGUUUGAUCCCUGAUUUUUUUUUUUUAUUUCACGUCAGUCUAUAUACUUUCACAAUUACAUCACUGUAGUCUAAAAUUUGAAUUUGGCGCUGAACAUGACUCUGUUGAUGUAGACCCGACAACAUGGCCCCAUUUUUAAGAUAUUAAAUUUUAAUUUGAACAUAAUGUCCAAACUACCCUUAUCUUCUUUUUUAGGAGAACAAAAAAUUAAUGUUGGGUGGGCUGGGUUUGAAGCCUAGACCUUAUCUUUUUUUUUUUUAAUCACGUCUGACUCUGCUGAUGUAGACCCGACAGCAUGGCCUCACUUUUAAGAUAUUAAAUUUUAAUUUGAACAUAAUGUCCAAACUACCCUUAUCUUCUUUUUUUAGGAGAACAAAAAAUUAAUGUUGGGUGGGCAGAGUUCGAAGCCUAGAGCUUGCUGUCAAAUACUAUGCUCCAAACCACUGGAGUAACUAUUGCUCAUAUACCUUUUAGUACAUCUAUAUUUAUUAGUACGAAAAAAUGAAAGGAAAAUAAUAAAUAAUAAAACUAUUUGUGAUUGUGUUCCUACCAUUCACGCCCAGACCUUUACUCCAUGCCUUCACUGAAGGUCAUAAUCCCAGAAUUUUUUUUUCUUUCAGUUUGUUUAUCCUCCUCUUCUUUUUCUUCUUUUUCCUUCAAAUCAAACUAUCAAAGAAAUCACGCUGCAAAUUCCGACCGGGAGGAUGAAGGGUGAGACGGCUUCUUCGUCGUCGGGGAAGCUAAGGAGCUUAAGGAUUGUUUCUGACGAUUCUUGAGCUUGGCAGAAGAGGGGUUUGAUAGGAAAUUCGGCAUCGAUGCGAUGGCGGAACUUCUCUGCUUUUGAGGAGCUUUGUGGCUGGAUUGGUGGGGUGGGGGGGGGGGGGGGGGGGGGAUUUGGGGGUUUGGGGUUUUCAAUGAAUUGGCUUGGUGGUCGACGGCGAUUCGGAGGUUGAAAUUGAUGGGGUGGCAUCCUCGAGGCUGCGUUCGAGGCCGGGAUCAGAGGGGUGAGGCGGAGGGACUAGGUCGUGGUCGCCUAAAGUUUAUUUUAUUUUAUUUUUUUUCCCUAGUCUCUUUAUUUCAAAAUGUCUGUUUUGUCCUUCUUAUGGGUCAUCCUGUCUGGUCCACAUCAGCAGAUGAUGUCAUGUUCGGAGUCAAAUUCAAAAUUUUAGACCACAUUGAUAUAAUUGUGAAAGUACAAGAACUGACGUGAUAAAAAAAAAUCAAGACCAAACUGAUUUUCGAACAAAAAAUUUGAGGGAGUAAACUGAAUUUAAUCCUUAAAUCAAUCAGUCUUAAUUAAUCGAUUUAAUUAUGACCGAUAAAGUAUUUCACUAAUUUGAUUAAAUUCCGACUUCAUUUUUAAUAAUCGAUUUGAUUUGAUUGAUGUCUGAUUAUCGAUUAAUGUUUAAUAUUUGAUUUUAAUUAGGAUUGAUGAUUUUGUUGUCGACCGACCAUUCACACGCCGCCACGUGACAUUUUCGAAGACUUUUCAACUUUACUGACUCACGAGCCACGUAUGCAAUUUGUCAGACCCCUGAGUUGUAUGAAUAAUUUCCGAAGACUUUUCGAUAAUCGAUUUGAUUUGAUUGAUAUCUGAUUAUUGAUUGACAUUUAAUAUUUGAUUUUAGUCGGGAUUGAUGAUUUUAUUGUCGACCGACCAUUCACACGCCGUCACGUGUCAUUUCCGAAAACUUUUCAACUUUGCUGACUCACGAGCCACAUAUGCAAUUUUUCGGGCCCCUGGGUUGUAUGAAUAAUUUAAUUGCUUCAGUUCUAUAUAUACCGCGUCCCACAUGUUUCAUCAAGUGUCAGAUAAUACAGAACCUACUUCGCCAAAAUGAAGAAAAUUGAGGUCAGUAUAAAUUCCAAACACACCAUCAAACCAUCAUCUUCCUCUACACCACUACAGCCUUACAAGCUUACCCUCCUGGACCAGCUCACUCCUCCAACGUAUGUCCCUAUGGUAUUCUUCUACCCCAUUACUGACCAUGUCUUCAAUCUUCCUCAAACCCUAGCAGACUUAAGACAAGCCCUUUCCGAGACUCUCACUUUGUACUAUCCACUCUCUGGAAGGGUCAAAAACAACCUAUACAUCGAUGAUUUUGAAGAGGGUAUCCCAUACCUUGAGGCUCGAGUGAAUUGUGACAUGACUGAUUUUCUAAGGCUUCGGAAAAUCGAGUGCCUAAAUGAGUUUGUUCCAAUAAAAACAUUUAGUAUGGAAGCAAUAUCUGAUGAGCGUUACCCCUUGCUUGGAGUUCAAGUCAACAUUUUGGACUCUGGAAUAGCAAUCGGUGUCUUCAUCUCUCACAAGCUCAUCGAUGGAAGAACGGCAUACUGUUUUCUCAAGUCCUGGGGUGCUGUUUUUCGAGGGUGUCGUGAAGAUGUCAUACAUCCUAGUCUCUCUGAAGCAGCAUUGCUUUUCCCACCGAGAGAUGACUUGCCUGAAAAGUAUGCCGGUCAGAUGGAAGGGUUAUGGUUUGCCGGAAAGAAUGUUGCUACAAGGAGAUUUGUAUUUGGUGCGAAAGUCAUAUCUUCAAUUCAAGAUGAAGCGAAGAGCGAGUCCGUGCCCAAGCCAUCACGAGUUCAGGCCGUCACUGGUUUUCUCUGGAAACAUCUAAUCGCUGCUUCUCGGGCACUAACAUCAGGUAAAAUCAGUUUAUCAACAAGCCAAAUAAUAAAGCCUAAUGUAUUUGGGGUACUUAUUUAUAUAUUUUUAUUACGUAUAUCUAGUGUACUGUGUACAUAGCUCAAAGAAUGAGAAAAUAUAUGAACUUGCAGGUACUACUUCAACAAAACUUUCUAUAGCAGCCCAGGCAGUGAACAUAAGAUCACGGAUGAACAUGGAGACGGUGUUGGAUAAUGCCACUGGAAACUUGAUGUGGUGGGCACCGGCCAUACUACAGCCAAGUCAUACAACACCAGAGAUUAGUGAUCUUAAGCUGUGUGACUUGGUUAACUUGCUCAAUGGAUCUGUCAAACAAUGUAACGGUGAUUACUUUGAGACUUUCAAGGGUAAAGAGGGAUAUGGAAGAAUGUGUGAGUAUCUAGAUUUUCAGAGGACUAUGAGUUCUAUGGAACCAGCACCAGAGAUUUAUUUAUUCUCGAGCUGGACUAAUUUUUUCAAUGCACUUGAUUUUGGAUGGGGGAGGACAUCAUGGAUUGGAGUUACGGGAAAAAUUGAAUCUGCAUUUUGCAAUUCCACAAUGUUGGUUCCAACACAAUGCGAUAAUGGAAUUGAAGCAUGGGUGAAUCUAGAAGAAGAGAAAAUGGCUAUGCUAGAACAAGAUCCCCAGUUUCUAGCGGUAGCAUCUCCAAACCCCCCAAUUUCAAGGUGUUGAUUAAAAAAGAUUAUGUGGCUCGUGCAAUGUUUCGAUUUUGUAGUGAAUAAGGUUUAAAUUAGUUCACCAGCCAAUCAAUAAGAUGCAAGUAUGAUAGACUCUGUCUACGUAUGUUAUCCGAAUGUGUUUUCGAUAUGCUUGUAACCAAUAUAGCUCUUGUUUGUAAUAAUGCUCUGUUAAGCUUCUAUCUAUAAAGUUAUUUCUCUUGAUUAAAGAAAAAACUAUACAAGUUUUGUUAAGCUUUAUUCUAUUUUUAAGAUAGGAUGUAUGUAGUACCUAUAAAGAUGGUUCACCUAUUAUUAUUUUCAAAUACAUGAUUAUCCGGUACAAUUACGUAGAAUAUUUCUAUAGCUAAAAAAAUGUAAUUUUGAUCCGUGACAACAUGAUUAAAAAAUUACAUAUUCUGAUACAUUUGUUCUCUAACGACAAGCAUGGCCAUAAUGCCUCACCUGAUCAUCUAUGUGAUGGGGUAGUGUCCUUUCUUUUUAAGAGAAGGUAGGCACCUAAUGUGAAGGCCUCUACGAGAGACUAAUAUUGUCUGAUCUUCUUUUGUUCAUCAAAUUAAAGAAACGAAAAUGGCCACAAUGCCUCACUAUUGAUAGAAGAUAGAACCAUACAAUAAUUUGGAACAUAUGCAUGGAGACAAGGAAAUAUAACACAAUAAAACCAUUAUAAUUUCACUUUAUGUGGGAAACUUGGCCAAAACCGAAUCACAUCCACGUUGGCAACAAAAAGUGACUGGAAAAAAAGAGCCCCCAAAAAGCUAAAACACUAUAAAAACCAGAAAACUUGAAUAAGCGAAAAACCAAAAGUAUGACAUUUACACACACACUCUAUCUCUCUCUCAAAGUCUGAAAACUUGCGCAAUAAGGUACCUAGCUCUCUGGUCUUUUCUUUCUAAUGCAUAUAAGUCCCUGUAAAUUUUAUGGCUUUUGGAAUGAUGAUUUUAUGCUUGUGGAUCUCAGAUGGGUUUGUUUUGUUUUGGGAUUUUUAUAAAUGAAUCCAUUGAAAAUGUUGAAAGCUUAUGCCUUUGUUCCUUGGUUCACUGUUCUGGUUUUGUAAAUUGUGUGUACGAGAGUUGAAAUGUUGGUUUUGGUAAAGAGAAAUGUUCUAUAACCAUGUAAGUUAUCUUCUAAAGUUGUUCGAGUACUGCAUAGGAAAUAACGACCUAAACUGCUAGAUGCUCUGAGAAACUUAAUUAUCCGAUUCGUUGUGAUAAAUUAAUAGAACCAUCAAUAGCCGUGAUAGUCCCUUAAUAUUUGGUGGCUAAUUAGCAAUGCAUUCAUGGUAGUUGCAUGUGCUUAUUUUGUGCAGUAUUCUAAUUCUAUCACUUGCAAAAUCGUUGUGGAAGGUCAAGAGGAGAAAACUGAAAAUGGGGCAGCAUGCAUCUCAUUUUAUUUUUUUAUGCAAUAGAGCCCUAUAUAUAAAAUAAAUAAUGUAUCUAUAACCUUCUCUAAUUAAUUUACUUAGUAAUUGACGCAAUUUGGCCGAACUGUUUCUAAACACACUAAGCUUCAGUUCUAUAUAUACCACGUACCACAUGUAUGAAUUCAUCAAGUGUCUGAUAAUACUAAACCUACUUCGACAAAAUGGAGAAAAUUGAGGUCAGUAUAAUUUCCAAACACACCAUCAAACCAUCAGCUUCCACUCCACGACUUCAGCCUUACAAGCUUACCCUCCUGGACCAGCUCACUCCUGCAAUGUAUGUCCCCAUGGUAUUCUUCUACCCCAUUACUGAUCCUGUCUUCAAUCUUCCUCAAACCCUAGCUGACUUAAGACAAGCCCUUUCCGAGACUCUCACUUUGUACUAUCCACUCUCUGGAAGGGUAAAAAACAACCUAUACAUCGAUGAUUUUGAAGAGGGUGUCCCAUACCUUGAGGCUCGAGUGAAUUGUGACAUAACUGAUUUCCUAAUGCUUCGGAAAAUCGAGUGCCUAAAUGAGUUUGUUCCAAUAAAAACAUUUAGUAUGGAAGCAAUAUCUGAUGAGCGUUACCCUUUGCUUGGAGUUCAAGUCAACAUUUUCGACUCUGGAAUAGCAAUCGGUGUCUCCGGCUCUCACAAGCUCAUUGAUGGAAGAACGGCAGACUGUUUUCUCAAGUCCUGGGGUGCUGUUUUUCGAGGGUGUCGUGAAGAUAUCAUACAUCCUUGUCUCUCUGAAGCAGCAUUGCUUUUCCCACCGAGAGAUGACCUGCCUGAAAAGUAUAUAGCUUUGAUGGAAGGGUUACGGUUUGCCGGAAAAAAAGUUUCUACGAGGAGAUUCGUAUUUGAUGCGAAAACCAUAUCUGCAAUUCAAGAUGAAGCGAAGAGCGAGUCCGUGCCCAAGCCAUCACGAGUUCAGGCCGUCACUGGUUUUCUCUGGAAACAUCUAAUCGUUGCUUCUCGGGCACUAACAUCAGGUAAAAUUAGUUUAUCAACAAGCCAAAUAAUAAAGCCUAAUGUAUUUGGGGUACUUAUUUAUAUAUUUUUAUUACGUAUAGCUAGUGUACUGUGUACAUAGCUCAAAGAAUGAGAAAAUAUAUGAACUUGCAGGUACUACUUCAACAAAACUUUCUAUAGCAGCCCAGGCAGUGAACAUAAGAUCACGGAUGAACAUGGAGACGGUGUUGGAUAAUGCCACUGGAAACUUGAUGUGGUGGGCACCGGCCAUACUAGAGCUAAGUCAUACAACACCAGAGAUUAGUGAUCUUAAGCUGUGUGACUUGGUUAACUUGCUCAAUGGAUCUGUCAAACAAUGUAACGAUGAUUACUUUGAGACUUUCAAGGGUAAAGAGGGAUAUGAAAGCAUGUGUGAGUAUCUAGAUUUUCAGAGGAUUAUGAGUUCUAUAGAACCAACACCAGAGAUUUAUACAUUCUCGAGCUGGACCAGUUUUUUCAACCAACUUGAUUUUGGAUGGGGGAGGUCAUCUUGGAUUGGAGUUACAGGAAAAAUUGAAUCUGCAUAUUGCAAUUCCACAGUGUUGGUUCCAACACAAUGCGAUACUGGAAUUGAAGCGUGGGUAAGUCUAGAAGAAGAGAAAAUGGCUACGCUAAAACAAGAUCCCCAGUUUCUAGCGGCAGCAUCUCCAAACCCCCCAGUUUCAAGGUGUUGAUUAAAAAAGAUUAUGUGGCUCGUGCAAUGUUUCUAUUUUGCAGUGAAUAAGGUUUAAAUUAGUUCACCCGUCGAUCAAUAAGAUGCAAGUAUGAUAGAUAUGUUAUUCGAAUGUGUUUCGAUAUGGUUGUAACCAAUUAAUAUAGCUCUUGUUUGUAACAAUGCUCUAUUAAGCUUCUAUCUAUAAAGUUAUUUCUCUAUUAAAAAAAAAACUAUGGAAGUGUUACCAAGCUUUGUUCUGUUUCAAAGGUAAGAUGCAUAUACUACCCGAAAAUAAUGUUCACCUAUCAUAAUUCUUCCACAUGAAAACCCGGUAAGAAUCACAUAAAAUAUUUCUAAUACUUUAGAAUCUAAUUUGGGUUUGUGACAACAUAAUUGAAGAGGUACAUAUUCUGAUACAUUCGUUAUUUAACGACAAGCAUGUACAUAAUACCUAACCUAGGAGGAGGGUGUACGUAGUGUUCUCUCUCCUUAAGAAGGCCUGCCUUUCGCGAAGGCCUCUUUCAAAGGACUGAUAUAAUAUAAUCUUCUUCUUUUUUUAAUCAAAAGAAACGAAAAUGGCUUCAUUGUUCAUAAUUUGGAAUAUAUGGUGGAUUGUACGGUGUUGUUUUGAGGGAGCUUCUCUCUCGGGUCAAGGGUUUCCAAUGGAUUUGUGCAAUGAGAUUUGAUUGGCAACAGUUAUUCGGGCAUCAACGCUCCAAUUUAGCACUCCUCAGUCCUCACUACCUCAUUGUUGUUGACGAUGGCGAUGACGACAUUAGCGAGCAUGGGUGAUGUGUGUGGCAUAUUUGUUUGUAUUGUUGCAUUAUUGCUUUCGGAUGUAAGGGCUUCGCCCUAUAGAUUAGCGAGCAAUUGGUCUCCUCUCAUUCUUUCUACCUUGAUCGAGUUGGAGAUCCAUGCACUUUAUUUGUAGUACUUUUUUUGGCCUCGCGUUUGCAAGCUUUGAAAUUCCCGUGAUUAAGGAAUUAUUCAUUUUUUACAAAAAAAAAGAAGAAGAUUUUUUCCUGAAAAAUAACACAACAACCAUCAUAAUUUCACUUUAUGUGGGAAAUUUAGCCAAAUCCGAAUCACAUCCACGUCGGCAACAGAGAGUGACUUGAAAGAAGUGCACCCAGAAAGCUAAAAAACCAUAAAAACUAGAAAACUUGAAUAAGGAAAAACUAAAGUAUGACAUUCCAAUCUAUUGUUUUAUGGUUUUUGAAGGAUUCAAAUUUGUCAACCACUUUUUACUUGACCACCUUAAUGACCACUAUCUAGAUUGGUGAUACGUGUCUUUUCAAAUUAUUUUACUUUAUUGUUUUAUUGUUGAUAAAAAAAAUAAACAUGUGUCACCAAUCUAAAUAGUGGUCAUUGAGAUGAUCAAGUAAAAGUGGUUGACAAAUUUGAAUCCAUUUCUUAUUGCGGUUUUGUUCUGCCAAAUCCAAAUCCCAUGACCCAAUCAUUUACACUCCCUCUCAAUCUCUGCAAAACUGACUGCUUCCCUUGAAAACGUGCGCAAUAAGGUACCUAGCUCUCUGCCCUUUUCCUUGUAAUGCAUUCAAGUCCCUGUAAAUUUUGUGGUUUUUGGUAAUGAUUUUAUGCUUGUGGAUCUCAAAUGGGUUUGGGUUUGUUUUGUUUUGGGAUUUUUAUAAAUGAAUGCAUUGGAAAUGUUAAAGCUUAUGCGUUUGUUCCAUGAUUCAGUGUUCUGCAAUUUGUGCCUUCUCUUCCGGAUCUGAUGUACGUGAUGUUCUAGCUAGUUGUCUUUUGGAUUGAAAAGAUAUUAUCUUUUGAUUGUUUUUGAUAGAACAUCAACAUCAAUCAUCAAUGAGAUGAAUCUGAAGUAGGUUAUUAGUUUGGAGAUAUGUUAAUGGUUAAUGAAUCAAGCUGAAGUUGUUCUGGUUAUUGGAGCAAUAGGUUCCAUACUGAAGCAUCUAAUUUUGAAUUUGCAAAGAGUGGUUGACGAGUUAUCCUUGGGAUUGGCGGGUGACAUUGAAAAAGUCUUGGUUUUGUGUAUAAGAGUUGAAAUGUGAUUUCUUUACUGUUACCAUGAUGUGGGUUCUACUAAAAGACUCGUUCUUGAAUCUGGGGUCAUGUCCUGUGAUGACUCAAUUCUUGCAAAACACAACUGAGAUGUGUCAAAAUGGGUUCGGGAGCGUCUUUAUAUAUCGAAGUAUCAUGAGUUUCGAUACUAAGUGAGGGUGCUGGAUAGAAUUGAGUUUGGAGGUUCAAUGCUUCAAAAACAAAGAAGCUAGAGGGAACGUAAUUCUUGAUGAUUCAAGACGGAUCAAUGACCUUGUAAUUAAGUUGCUUAUGUGCAAUUGUUGAGCUUAUGGUGUUUCCAGUUUGGAUACGGAUAGCUAUUUCUGUUUUCAGUAUAACCACCAUGUGUUGCAUCCUCUUACUCUUCAUCUUCAUUUACCUAUCUUUGAUCUGAUGUUCCAUUGGCAGAGCUCCCUUAUGCUAAACUGUAAAACCUGCAUUCCAGGUGGUCAUUCUGUUAGAACUUUGGAAGGUCUCGGAAAGGAAACACUCGUCGACAAAUUUUGGGAGCAGUUGCAUAAAAGGAAUGGUCUCCCAACUCGGAGAUAAUGGAGACGCGUACUGGAAAUUCCCGUCCCAAUAAAAAGCAAUCGUCGGAGAAGUCUAAAUCUGCCACUGAAGAGAAAAGGCCUGCAGAAAAGAAGCAAACACUUCUGUGUUUGUCAACUAUGGUAAGUUCAUUAGAUAGUAAGUACUGAGUUUUCUAACAUCGGUGUAACACCAUGCAACUAACUCAGUACUGUAGAAUAGACAUCUAUGUUAGUCUCUUUAGAUAAUAUGCACACUUUAACUUUUCAAAUGACGUCCUGCAUUAGUUAGUCAACUGUUCAAAAUCUCGUAGGUUACAAUUUUCCCAUCUCCAAAACCAAGUGUCCAUAAUCUUUUUCCCUCUUUGUUCACUAAACUAGUAAACUCCUCGUUUAGAUUAAUGUUCUAAAUCUUUUAGUUUUUGUUCCAUCUUGACAUAACUUGUGGCUCAUUACCUACGUUGCAUGGAAUCGGAAGCGGAAACGUGGAAGCGAAGCGUUUGGAAGCGCGGAAGCGAUUUUUUUGAAAAUAAUUUGGAAGCGAAAGCGUUUUAGAAAUGUGAGAAUCAAAAUAAUAUAUACAAAUAACAAAUAUAUAUCACCUAAUUUUAAUUUCAUUCAUUUAUUUUAAUCGUUAAUUUUAAUAAGUUGUACAAAUUAGUUUGAUUGUUUAGCAGAUAACAACUCAUUCUUAAAAAAAAAAGAUAUCACUAAACCUUAUAAAAAUAAACUUCUUCACUAAAAAAAAGUCCACCAUGAAAUAUUGAAAGCACACGUCUCUCUAAUCUCUACACCUUUUAAUCUUCUUUCUUCACCUCUCUAUGCUCUCUCACCCUCCAGGUUGCCGUCAUCUUCUUUAACUUCAUUCUCUCUCACUCCUCUCCCUCCCUCCAGUUUCAAAUCCUUUCUUAACAGGUCCUCAAGCAGAAGAUCUGAUUGAUUAUAGAUUUCGAAAGAGAUAGAGAGAAGAUUGAUGUGCCGCUGAAUCAGUUCUCGUGCAGUGGACCAUCGCGCUUCCAAAUCAAAAUCGUGAGCUUCCAUAUUGGAAGCAUGCGCUUCCGUCGUGCUUCCAAAACCCUCUUUUCCCGGAAUCACGAUUCCGGGCGCUUCCGAGCGCUUCCACGGCGUUUCCGCUUCGCUUCCGCUUCGGAAGCGGGCGAGUGGCCCGGCGCUUCCGUGCUUCCUAGCUCAUUACUGCCCUGUAAACCAACUACGGCCGAGUUGUACCAAAAGGAAAUUCGGCCUCUCAUCAAUGAGUAAAGGUUUUUUUUUUUUUUUUCUUCCUUUUGUGGGGGAAGAAGAAGUAUGCAAUAAUUUUGGAAGUAACAUAUCCCCUAUCACCAUUCCUUGCAACAAGCAAUUACUUCUGGCAUUUUGUGGUUGAUGUUGAUCAUUUUGUAACUUUUGUUCUUUCAUGAUAAUAAAGCUAAUUUCUCAUGUAGCUGCAAUUGCUUGGCAUGAGAGUAGAAGAAAGUGGAUAGGGGAUCAGCGGCUGCAAAGAAUGGCCAAGGAUCCAAUUAUAAGGUAUUUUUUCCUCACAAAGGUUCCUGGAUAGAAUGGGGUUAGCAAGUCAUGGUUAAAGAGUUGCACCUUAAAGUUUAAUAACAAAAGAAAAGUUGGAGAGCAUAACUGCCAUAACUUAUAUUCUUUGUAGGUACAAAUGAACUCAUUAACACUGGUGUGUCAGUUUUUAGGAAAUUACACUUAUAUUUGAGUAUCUGUCACUCUGUCCACUACUUGCACCCUGACUUGCUGAUCUGUAAAUCCUAGAUUUUUCAAAAUUGCUCCUUUAGUCCUUUUGUUUGGUGUGUGUCCAUAUUAGUAGCUUUGUCCAUUUAUGCUGUUAAAUUGUAGCUGCUAUAUGAAUGUCAGGAAGUUAAAUGUGAAAACUAUAUGCUGCAUAUUAUAGCACCAUUGUAAUGAUUGAUGAUAUUAGUGUCUUUGUCCAAUUAUUUUCUGUUCAAUUAUUGCUACUUCUUGAAGAUAAUGUGGAAAGUUUAUGUUUCAGCUGGUCAACAGCCUAUGAGGAUCUACUCUCAACCAAUGAGUGUUUUUCUGAGCCGAUCCCCUUAACUGUAAGUCGAUCAUAUAAUAGCACAUACCUGUCCAAUAAAUAUCUUCUGAUAAGUCAUAUAUCUCUAUUACUUGUGUUUAUUUGACAUUGGAAAUAUUUUCUAAAGUUUGAUGUUUUUAUAAAAUUGGUUUUAAGCAUGUUUUCAUACUGGAGCUCCACUUUAUGUUUUCAAAAGUCAUGGGUAGUUUUCUUGAGCAGCGAGGACGAAAACUCAUCCCUACAACAGUUUGUGGAUGCAUGUAUUGUGCACUGGGACAAGAUAAUGGCGAGGAGUUGGGUGUGCAUGUUUGUGAUCGGUAAUUUAUUUUCUAUGCUUACAUGUUUAUUUUUAGACUCAAGUUACAUGUUUAAAUUGUAUUCUGUUGGCCUUGUUAUAAUCUCAUCCGUGAUUCUAUUAAUGAAGCUUGUUAAUUACUGGCCAUUCCUUAUAUCAAGUUUUAUACGAACAUAAGAGUCUAAUCCUGAUAUGAUUUUGUCUUGUGAGACUCUCAUUGCAAUUUGUAUUCUUUUGAGUUCAUUAUUUCUUAACGUUUAUUGUGUUAGGUUUUAGACGAAUGACUUUACCUUAAGCAAAUUAAAUAUUUUUCUUUUACAUACACCUCAAAUAGUUUUACGCUUCCGUGGUGUUUGCUUAAAUGAUUUCUUAAAUAAACUGUCUUGCGUUUCUCUUGGUUUUUAUUUUAGAGACAUGCGGCACUGUGACGUGUCUAAACUAAGGAGGCGUAGUUUGGGGCGUUACAGAUUUAAUCUUUACACACUAUGAGAAUAUCAAAAUAUCACGAUAUUUGUGCAAAACUCACGAAAUCUUGUUAUUAAAUCAGCCGAAGUCAUCAUAUAUAGUCAUUAACUCGGGCCAAACUUAUAAAAUUAACACUAAAGUCUUGGCGCAGCUAACAUGAUUUGAACCCAGGUUGCCACAUGUUUGUAACAUCCUGAAAUUUCAAAUUUUUAUUUUUAAAAGGAAAGUUAUUUUUAUUUCGAUUUCUAUUAUUCUUUUAAAUUCUUUAUAGUUUUUGAAAAUUAUUCAAAUUUUGUUUUUGGAGCCCAUCGGAUUAAACUAGAGGCCGUGAUGAAUUUGUGGGAUUUUUCGGAACACCGUUUGGAUAUCGGAUAUAUUUUUAAUGAUUUUUAGAAGUUGGUAUUAUCUAAAAAUUUAAUUAAAAAUAGAAAAUCAAGGUCGGUCAAAUUUGGUCCGUCCAGAUUAUAUGGGUAUGGAUCAACUUGGACUUCAUUAUACCCAGUCCCAGACCGACUCCGUCUCCAGCCUCUAUCAGCGACGGAGACCUCCGGUCACUCCUCCGUUGUCCGGCCGUCUCCCGCCGCAAAACGACUGUCUACAGCUCUGUCUCGACGUCCCCGACCUCCCUGGGAUUCCAGCUUGAUGAGUGGAGCUCCGGAAAAGGAGGAGAGAAGGCGACUGUGUUUCCGAUCGGGUUUCCGAUUCCGGUGACGGCGGCGAGCGUGAAUGGUACUGGAAGCAUCCUCUCGUCCUCGUGGUCUUCCCUAUGUCCUCAGUUUCUUCAGAAGAGGUCGGGAGAGAGAGAUUCGAAGUGGAGAAGGAGAGGCUGGGUUCGCCGGCGAGUUUCCGAUUCCGGCCAAGUCGAGGUUUCUCACUGGUAUGAAUAGCUUCAUGUCGGUCUCGGGAACCUUUCCAUGUUGGUGGUUUUCGAAGAGAAGCUCGGAGGAGGGAGAAUCGAAGAGGAGAAGUUUCUGAAUUUUCCGGCGAGGGUUCGACGGAUUCCGGUGAAGCUUGAUGUCGACUCAGGUAUUAAAGUUGGUCUAUUCGAUGAGCUUUACAUGUUUCUAUAAUUGAAAUUGAGAUUGGUUGGGUGUUGGAGAAGUGGGAUUUUGGACAGGUUGUCGACCACCGUGUACGGCGGCGGCGGCGGUUGUUCUUGUAGUUUCUGGCUUUUGUUAAUACAUUGAUUGUGGAGGAGUGUUUUGAGAUGUAUUAGAAUUGCAGGAACAUGAGAAUUGUAUGAAGUUGGGUUUUGAGCAGUGUGGUGUGUGGCCACUGUUCACGGCGGCUAUGGUGGUGUUUUGAAAUCAGAAGACUUGUGUGAGGGAGAGGUUGAAGAUGUGUAUUAUGUUUGGUAUGAGUGUUCAUUCAAUUGGCUUUGGUAUUUGAGAGCAGGGUGCUACGAAUAUCUUGGUUUUGUGAUCAAAGUUGAAGUAAAGCAUAUAUGUUUGUAUGGUUGUGAGAUAUGGUGGUAACUGCAGCAAUGGAUAGUUGAUCAAGGUUCACAUGAUCUUGGAACAAAUGUCCAGUCGAUAACUUUAAGAUGUAAUUGGUAUUGCUAUGCUUGAACAAUUGUGUUUCGGUGGAUUGAAGAUUUGCCGGAAGGUGUGUAGUAAGAUGGGUGUCCAAAGUAAUUGAUGGAGACUGGUGUGUUCUCUUUUGAAUUAUUGUUAGAGAAAGAUGAUUAGAGGAGUUGGGUGUAAUGAACGUUAAGUUGGCUUUGCUGGGUUGUUGUGGAGUCUUAAGAGCAGUAUGGGUACGGGAACAGAAGAAUUGGAUUUUCAUUACUUUCAUAUGGAUUUGAUGUGUUGCUGGGGAGUAGGAAACAGUAAAGGAUUUAGGUUUGGUCAUGUCUGGGUUCGUUGAUAAGUUGUUAUGCCUACAAUUAAGACAUGAGAAGAUUGAUCAAGUUUGAGAUAGGCAAAUAUAAAGGAUUUAGUAGAAAAGAGGAAUUGGGUGUAGAGAGUAAAUUCGGUGCUUAGCUUGGUGCUUGGAGCAUGGUUGGGAUACGACUAAUUAUGGGUGGCGUGUGAUUUGGUAAUUGUCGGAAAAGGUGAGCGGAAUUGGAAAUAAAGAUUUUGAUCGUUUCUAAUUAAAGUGUUUGCCGACUUUAUUGGAACAAGGAUUUGAUGUGAGGGAGCAUGUUGCAAUCCGAGGAGCAGAAUGAUAAGGAUUUCAAAAUGCGUGCCGCGGUGUUAUUAAUUUUAGUAAGCGUCGGAGUCAAGGCUUGGAUUCCAGGUAGGGUCUCUCUCAGGGAACUUUUCUUUAAAUUGAUAAUUAGGUUAUUGUUGAAAUCGGUGCAUUGUGUGGCAUUGGUUGAUAUAACUCUUGGUUGUUAUCGAUUUUGUUAAAAGCAUGUGAUAUCGUUGAUUUAUAUGAAAUUAAUGUUAUUGCUUUCCGUAAAAGCAUGAGUUGAAUGUUAUGAUAUGAGUAUUGAUAUUCAAUUGACAUGCAUAAUGCAUUGUGAGGAAUUGUGAGAAGUGAGAUUGGUGAUUCUGGAGAUGAGAAAGAGAUUGAUAGAAUAGAUACAUUUUGUGUAGUUGAGUUUCCUCAUGGGUUGUCCAAGAUCCAGGGUAGUCCACACGUGCAUAAGUUCAGGGAAUGUAUGCCAUUUCGAUGGCGGACAUCGACAAAACAAUUUUAUCGGGUUUCGGGUUUGGAGACCAUGAGUAUAACAAGAUGAUUAACAAUAGAGGUACAAGCCAUAAGAUAUUACUGAUUAUUAGAUCAUAUAUUUGAGACAUUUGUGUCACCCCCGGUUGGUAAAAUACACGGUAUGGGACGUGUAGGCUCACAUAUCUUUGAUGUAUGGACUGAUAGCCAGUAAUUGAGGAAGACAUUCAUUAGCAUACAUGUAUCAAAUUGUCGUUAUUUAUUUAAAGUAUUAUUUGAUGUUUGAUAACUUGUUUGUGCGAUGUAGUUAAUUAUAACUUAAAAAGGUUUGGCUCUUUGGCCCUACUAAGCGUAAGCUCACCCCUAUAAACUUUUGUUCAGGUACGUUUGAGGACACGUUUUUCUAGAAGCGUAACUGUGAAGUUUAGCUGACGUGUACGAGAGUAGAAGAGUUACAGAAGAUUAGAAGUCAGAUAGAUCGUAAGGGCUUAUCUUUUUGUCUUUGUAAUUGUUUUUUGUUAUUGUAAACGUUUUAUUUUCUUUUAUUUCUGGAAAAGUAUUUGAAAUUGUUUUAUUUUCUUUUACUUUUCCCGCUCAUGUCUCGGGUACGGCGUCAGGUGCUUGGAAACCACCGACACCGGGUCCGGGGUUUGAUGUAUGGACUAGCCAGUAAUUGAGGAAGACAUUCAUUAGCAUACAUGUAUCAAAUUGUCGUUAUUUAUUUAAAGUAUUAUUUGAUGUUUGAUCACUUGUUUGUGCGAUGUAGUUAAGUAUAACCUAAAAAGGUUUGGCUCUACUGAGUGUAAGCUCAUCCCUAUAGAUUUUUGUUUAGGUACGUUUGAGGAUACGUAUUUCUAGAAGCGUAACUGUGAAGUUUAGCUGACGUGUACGAGAGUAAAAGAGUUACGGAAGAUUAGAAGUCAGAUAGAUUGUAAGGGCUCAUCUUUUUGUCUUUGUAAUUGUUUUUUGUUAUUGUAAACGUUUUAUUUUCUUUUAUUUCUGGAAAAGUAUUUGAAAUUGUUUUAUUUUCUUUUAUUUUUUCCGCUCACGUCUUGGGUACGGCAUCAGGUGCUUGGAAAUCACCGACACCGGAUCCGGGGUGUGACAAUGGUAUAUCUCACAUUCUCAACCAAUCCUCCUAAGGUGAUACUUGAUUACUACAUUGAACAUUUUAUUAUAAACUCUACAUAUAUUUUCAUACUUUUAAAAUUUCUUUUCGAAAUUUUAUUAAUAUUGAUAUUUUCUAAUAUUUUUAUCAAAAUAUCUAUUUUUCAGAUAGUCAAAAUUUUCUUGAAACGUGAUAUUUUUGUAAUAUAUCGAAAUUUCAAAUUUUUAUUUUUAAAAGAAAAAUUAUUUCCGAGCUAUUUUUAUUUCGAUUUCUAUUAUUUCUUUCAAUUCUUUGUAGCUUUCGAAAAUUAUUUCAAUUUUUAGUUUGUCAAAAUUUAUCUUUUGAGUCCAUAGGAUUAACGGAAGCGUUUUCGGACAUCGGAGCUAUUUUUAAUAAUUUUUAGAAGUUAAUAUCGUCUAAAAAAAAAAUAUUUUUAAACCCGCUUGAUCUGGACCGUUGGAUCAUUUAAACCGCAAGAUCUGGGCUGGGGGAGACUGGAUCAGAUCAGUUCAGACCCAGACUGGGUCAGCCUCGAUCCAAAUAGCAGCGACGGGUGACCGGACUGCCGCUUUGUCCUCCAGCGACGGCGUGGGGAAAUCAUGGCAGCUUCGGCUUCGUCUCGGUCGCCUGAUCCUAUCUGUGGUCUCGAUUUCGUCGAUGGAGCUUCGAUGAGAGAGAAUCGAAGAAGGGUAGCUUUUUCUGGGUUUGUCGACGAGUUUACUAUUUCAGCCACGGCGGCGAGCAUGAUCGGUCUUGGUAGCUUCACCUCGACCUGUUGAACAUUUCUUUGAAGAGAAGGUCGGAGGAGGGAGAAUCGAAGAGAAGAAGUUUUUAGGUUUUAGGCAGUGUUCUUGGUGUUUUCCGGCGACCUCGGACUUCAAUUCAGGUAUCAAAGUUGGUCGACUCGUCAAGCCCUACAUCUCUAUAUAAUUGGUUUUCAUUUUUGAUUAAGUUUUGAAGAAUCGAAGUUUUGGGGUUUUACUGUGCAAUUUGAGUUUUCCUGUUUGUGUGGUGAUUUUGGUUGCCUUGGGGCGUUCUUCGAUUGGAAUUGACUUUAUGAAGUUGAUUUGAUGAUCUUAAGCCCUUGAAUUACAUAAUUGGAAAAGUUGGGUUUUGGGGCAGUGUUGUUCGGCGAUGGAAGUGGUGGUUGAUGGUUCUGGGUUUGGUUUAUGUUUUAGAUGAAAUUACAAGAGCAUUAGAACUUAAUUAUGUUGUUGUGUCGCCUGGAUUCCAUAAACGGAGAAGUUGAGUGUAAGAAAAUUAGAGUUAUGCAAUUUGGAAUUGAGCUAAGAUUGGAGUAGAUGAUAGUAUCGGGUUUUCUGCUGAUUUUGGUUUAUUGUUUGUGGUGGUGACUGCAGUAUUCUUGUUCCAUUUCCAAUCAUAUGAAAGUGCAGGAACAUGAAUUUGGAUGCUUGAUUGGUAAAAGAUGAGUUUUGGGUGGUAGGAAAUGGAGCUGUGUUAUUGGAAUAGGGAGGGGAAGAUGGUUGUGUAUAGUACUAAUACUGAACUUGGCGGAGUUGAAGGAUGCAACUAAGAACUGUUGAUUUGCGAUAUGGAACUAGGAGCUUGAUUUCAAAUGGAGAAAGUGAGUAUUGGCAAGUGCAGGAGUAGGACAACUUGAGAAGUAUAAAUUGGCUAAAGAGCUUAUGGGUGUCCUUAUCAAUUUCAAAGACUGGAUUGCAUCGACUUGAAAUCAUCAGAGUGAAUAAAUGCGGAUUAAGGAACUCAUCUGGGUGUCUUAGUAGAUUUAUGAAUUCGGUCCGGUUGACUUAAAGUGACUUAAAUUUGGCUUAAAGUGAGUUUUGCGGAUUAAGGAUUCAGGGUGUCCUUAGUAAUUUUAAGAACAUGAUCAAUUUUGGAAAUUGAUUUAGUUUAUUUGAGGUUCGACGGCUUUCUCGGUAAGGAAUUGUGACGAGGAUCGAGUGACUAUCGACUUUUUCAGAAGCAGAAGGAUAAAGAUUUCAGAAUGCGUGUCGCUGAGUUAUUAGUUUUAAUUAGCGUCAGAACUAGCGCUCGGAUUUCAGGUAUGGUCUUUCUUGGGGAACCUUUUUUUAAAUUGAUAAUUAGAUUGUUAUUGAAAUUGGUGAAUUGUUUGUCAUUGAGUGAUUAACUCUUGGAUGUUACUGCUUUCUAUAAAAGCAUGUGUAAUCGUUGAGUUAUAUGAUUGUUAUUAUCGCUUUUCUUAAAAAGUAUGUGUUGGAUGAUAUAAUAUGAGUAUUGUUAUUCGUUGCAUACAUAAUGCAUUUUGAAGAAUUAUGAGAUUAGUGAGAUUGGUGAUUAUGGAGAGGUGAGAACGAGAUCAAAAUAUACAUUUUGUACAGUUGAGUUUCCUUAUGGGUUGUCCAUAAAUCUAUGUCAUCCCACUUGCGCAAAUGAGUGGGCAAAGUAUACUCCUUCGAUGGCGGACAUCAAUAAAACGAUCUUUCGGGUUUCGGUUUUGGAGAGUAUGAGUAUAACAAGAUGACUAACAAAAGAGGUACAGGUGAUGAGAUAUUACUGAUUGUUAGAUCAUAUAUUCGAGACAUCUGAGUCACCCAUGGUUGGUAAAAUACACUGUAUGAGACGUGUAACUGAGGAAGACAUUCAUUAGCAUAUAUGCAUCUAAUUAUCGUUAUAUAUUUAAAGUAUUGUUUGAUACUUGAUAACUUGAUUGUGUGACGACAUAGUUAAAUGUAACUAAAGAGGUUUGGCCCUACUAAGCGUGAGCUCAUCCCUAUAUACUCUUAUUCAGGUUCAUACAAGGACACAUAUUUGUAGAAGACUAACUGUGACGUUUAGUUGACGUGAACGAGAGUCGAGAAGGACUACCGAAGUUUCUAGUGAGCUAAACAACAAGACUAGUUUUACCUUUAUAGUGAGCUAGACUGCAAGACUUGUUUUGUCUUUAUAAUCGGUUUUGUUUUUUGUAAUCGUUUUAUUUUCGACUAUUUCGAGAAAAAUAUUUAAAAUUAUUUUAUUUUCUUUUAUUUUUCCCGCUCACGCCUCGGAUUCGGUGUUAAGUGUUUGGAAACCACCGACACCGGGUCAGGGGUGUGACAAUUUUAGUCCUUGGUUUGAUGCCUAAGCUACUUCGCUCCUCCAAACUGGGCCGGUGUUGGAUCAAACAAACAGAAACUUGAAAGAAGGAGUCCGAUACAAGUCAUACAACUACGUUGGUCGGAGCGGAUUUUACGCAUCAAGGUGCCCUUGCACCAUUAAUCUGUAAGUUUUUAAAUCUUCGUAUGCAAAGAUUUAAUGAAGACUAGAGACCUUAAAUUCUUUUCUUUCAUUUUUAUUUUUGACCUGAUCAAAUUAAACGCCAAUAAUUAGAGUACCUCUUAUUCAAUCUCAUGUCCUCAUCUCUUGUGUUGAAAACACUUUUGAUUAUUUUUUUGAGUUUUAAUUUUGUUAAUGGUAUUAAAAUACAUGCAUGAUAAUGCGACAUAGAUGAUCGGAUCAAAACAUUGCGUAUUAAUUGCUCGAUUCACUUGUAGAAGAAUUUUCGAGCUUCGGGCCAAUAUUCCAUUUUUCUUUUUAAUAAAAAAUUCUAGCAGCUAGACAGCUAGUUAACCAAUUGUGAAGCUACACAACUGGGACUUGCAGCGGAAAACAACUACCACGCGUUGCAUGGAGAGGUUAGGUCCUGCAUGCAACUCCGCCGCCCGUAAAUCUCCUACUGACAGCUCUACCCCUCGAUUUGCAGAUACUGAUGUAAAACCCGAGGACAAAACGGUAAUCGUUGAUACUCCGAGCCAGACAUAAAACUAUCCAAGAACAAAGAGGAGACACCACAGGAAAAAUGACCGGACCGCCUCUACCUCGACCCUUUCUAACGUGCUUGGUUGGUGUAGCAGUCUUAACCUGCGCACUAACCUUCUGUGUUGCCCUAGAUGUCACCCCCCAAGACCCAAUCAUCCACCAAGUCACAGACCAUGAUACUAACAAGCUCCUUGGAACCGAGAAAGAGUUCAAGAGUUUCAUGGAGAAGUAUGAGAAGAAGUACCCUACUAGGAAGGAGUACAUGCACCGGCUAGUUGUUUUUUCCAAGAACAUGAUCAGAUCCGCCGAGCACCAAGCUCUGGAUCCGACGGCGGUUCACGGCGUCACGCCGUUCUCGGAUCUGGAGGAGGAGGAGUUCGAGAGGAUGUACACCAUUCCUCGAAAAGUUAAAGUAAUCUUUUUUAGAAAUCGAAUGGAUUCGGUCUUAUACAUACGCAAGGAAGGUAAUAAAAAAAAAGAAAGAUGAGUUCUUUUAUCACUUAGGAGCUGUGCGAGAUAAAAGUCUCAUGCACGGUUUUGAAUGAGAGAAAGAAGUGAGGAAUCCUUUUUUCGACACUGACUCUCCCACUCCAGUUGUUGCUUUUUUUUUCUUUUUUUUCUGUUACUUCAAAAGUCGUUGCUUCAGUUUCAGCCACUCGAAUUUUCGAUGUUCUUUUUUAUUUCUCAUCAAACGAAUGGCAUUUUCUUCCUAUUACUCAAACAAGCAUGAAACGUAUGCUUGCGUAUUCGUCCAUAGGUCAAAUUGGAUAUGUAAUUAUUGGAAUAAUUGUUGGAGACUCAAAUGGUGGAUAUGUAAGCAUGAUAACUUAUAUGUUGUUCUAUAUCUCUAUGAAUCUAGGAACUUUUGUUUGCAUUAUAUCAUUUGGUUAGAGGUGCGCCCGGCUUAACCAACGGCGGAGGCGGUACGGGGAGCACGGUUGAGCUUCUGGAUGUUAGCGGGUUGCCUGAGAGUUUUGAUUGGAGAGAGAAAAAGGAGCUGUUACUGAGGUCAAGAUGCAGGUAGUUUCUAAUUUUCGUUUUAUUUCUGAUUUUUUAGGUUGGACACACAAUAUAUGUGAUUAACAGUUUCGGCCGUACUUAAAUCCUAGCUUUUUGCAAAUCAAGUUAUGGCACAUACGAUAUAGAAGUCUCGUAGCUGGUUGUAAAUUACUAAAUUGUGUAAUCUGAAGUCGAUCAGCUGAUCAGGUGCUGCUGGUUCUUUUGUUUAAUUGAUUGUAUAACUAGCUUGACUUUGAGAGUUUGAAGUUUUGUACAGAAAGAUUUGUCUAAUAGAGCUAGGGUGUUUGUGGAACAUGGAAUUAUUCUUCAGGCAAGGAGUUGUAUUGUGAUACUUAAAGCCUCUAAAUCUCUUGUUAUGGAUGCAGGGUGGCUGUGGGUCGUGCUGGACCUUUAGCACAACGGGAGCUAUUGAAGGAGCCAAUUUCAUUGCCACUGGGAAGCUUGUUAGUCUCAGUGAACAGCAGCUUGUUGACUGUGAUCACCAGGUAAUUAAGCCUAGCCUCUCUGGAAUAUAUUGAAGUACUCAUUUAACUUUAGGGCGAUAAAAAUUUAAUUGAUUGAGCAUAUAUAUAAUAUUUGGCAUGCCUACUUAAUUAGUUUCGUUUAAUGUUUGUGGCAACUAUAAUCAAGUGUGAUGCAAAAGAGAAAGAUGCAUGUGAUCGUGGUUGUGGUGGCGGACUUAUGACAAAUGCCUACAAGUAUCUAAUGGAAGCAGGAGGGUUGCAAGACGAGGUUUCAUACCCUUAUACGGGGAAAAAGGGCGAAUGCAAAUUUAAUCCUGAAAAAGUAGCCGUGAGAGUAACCAAUUUCACCACUAUUCCCCUUGAUGAGAAUCAGAUUGCAGCGAACUUGGUCCACAAUGGUCCUCUUGCCAGUGAGUACUAAACCUGAUAAUAUGCUUAAAAAUAGCUAGGCUUUUUAUGUAUCUAUGUGUGCGUACAUAGAACUGCCUUAAGUGUCUUAUUUUCUGAAUAUGAUGUGCACUGUUUAGCAUAUUUAGAUCUGAGUGUAGAUACACCCCACUGAUACAGAAUCUUAAUUGAUGUAUGUAUGCGCAGUUGGCUUGAAUGCUAUGUUCAUGCAAACCUACAUUGGCGGUGUGUCAUGCCCUCUUGUUUGUUUCAAGAAAUGGGUGAACCACGGUGGUUCACUUGUUGGAUAUGGUGAGAGUGGCUUCUCGAUUCUCAGGCUCAGCAACAAGCCGUAUUGGAUCAUCAAGAAUUCAUGGAGCGCAAAAUGGGGAGAACAUGGUUAUUACCGACUUUGCCGAGGCCAUGGCAUGUGUGGGAUGAAUACCAUGGUGUCUGCAGUUGUGACCAGUACGCGGGCAUCCUAGCUGCAUCUCCCGAGAUUAGCUAGUAUAUAAUUAUACACUAUAAUAUUAUAUGCACCUCUCCCUUGUUUUUUCUUAAUCCGAAUUUGAUGUUCCUAUAAUCAUAUUUCAACAAUAUUAUUGUUAAUAUGCCGAAGUGGAAAGUCUUGUUUACGUCAAAACCAAUUCGAACUAUAUUUUGUUAGCUUUAAAUGCUAGAUUGUCAGACUUCAAAUUUAAGUCGGAAAAAUUUUACAAUAUGUUAAUGCAUGUUAUGCAUCAAUUUUAUCCUAAAAUUGUAAAAUGAGUCUCUAAAGUAGUAAUAUUAGUCCUUGAAGUUGUAAUAUAUACGAGUAGUUGUAAAUUUUAAAGUUACAACAUUAGUUAUCAUGUGUCCUUAAAGUAAAUUUUACAGUUACAACAUUAGUCAUUGUGUCUUUAAAGUGAUAAAAUGCGUGCUUAAAGUGGUAAUUGAAUCCUCAAAGUGAUUGAAAAAGUUUUUAUAUCUUUGAGGAUUUGUAUUACAACUUUGAGGAUUUGUAUUACAACUUUGAGGACUCAGUUACCUCUUUAAGGACACAUAAGGAUUAAUAUUGUAACUAAUUUUUUUACAACUUUAAAGACUUAUAUUACAACUUUAAGGACUAGCUAAUAUUACUACCGUAAGACUCGAUCAUUUUAUAACUUAAGAGCAAAGUUGAUACAUCACAUGCAUUUUUUUUUUAUUGGUUAAUGAUCGAGGAUAGGCGAAUAAUCACCUAUCACUCUAUGUUAUUAAUAAAAGAAAAAAGAAACAAAGGAGGGGGAUCAAAACCAAAACAUCCUAAAACAAAUGACAGACUAGCUGAAACGAAAUUGAGGCAUACCUCUAACAUCGUUAUUAUAAGACAAUAAUAUGAAAGGUGGAGGCUCAUCCCACCAUAUCAAUUCAGAGCAUGACGUACCUUGAUUUGCCAGAGCAUCAGCUAUCUUAUUCCCUUCACGAAAAAUAUGAGUAGCCUUGAAAUUCAUUUUAGAGAUUCGGUAUAAGCAAUUCAACCAACGAACUCGAAGAGGCCAAGGAACAAGAGAAGGUCUGCGAAUAUAAUCAAGUACCAAAGAUGAGUCAACUUCCAACCAAAUAUGCUUCCAAUCACGAACCCAAGCAAGCUCAAUAGCUUUAAUAACAGCCAUUAUCUCCGUUGAAAUUGAACUAGGAAUUUCAAGAUUAGAGGCAAAAAGCACCUAGAAAGUGGCCCUUGUAAUCUCUAAAAAUAGCACCAUAACCACCCACUCCCUCUUCAUGCUUCCAAGAGCCAUCAGAAUUUAUCUUCACCCACCCAAGAGAAGGAGGAAUCCAAUUAACUUCAACCACUCUAGGAGUGGCACGAGGUCGACAUGGGGCUCCAAAACAUUUCAAAAUUCGUAGCUCCUGGACACUGUUAUGCAUAUGACCCGUUGUAAGAUGACUAGUGGCUCUUAUAUGACUUGAUAUUAGCUUGCAAACAACUUCAACUGAAAAGCGACAACCAUCAAAUCUGGUUUUAUUUCUCACAUGCCAAACAAACCACAAAAUGGAGGUAAAGCAAAUAAGCCAUAAUUCCAUUAAUUGAGGACUUCUUCCAUUCUGCAAACCCAACCCAUAAAGCUCCAAAAUAGAAGAAGGAAUCAUACCUAACUCAAAAAUAGAGCCAAAGUGACAGAAGAGACGCCAACGGCACCAACACCCAAAGCCAAAGGUAAAGUGUUCGUCAAAGGACUCCACAAUUCCAAGAAUGCUUUCCAUGUGCUCGUGCAAUAAUGGUAAGGAUAUCGAGAGACGCCAACGGCACCAAAUAUUCCAGCUUGAUUCAAUACGCCUUCAAAAUUGGCUAAUAUGAAUUCUGUCCACUCCAUUACGCCUAUCUCAAGUGUAGCACAACCCCGGAAACAAAGGCUCGAAGACCAAUCUUGUUUGGUGUUUAGCAUCCUGUGAAGUAUCGGGUAAAAAUUCUCUUCGAAAGUGAAAAGACCUCCAUCAUGUCUGUUAUCAACCUUCUCCAAAGUAUGCCCCUUAAAUACAUGGGAAAAGUUGUGGGUUGUUCUUAUCACUUGAUCCUCCAAAUCUUGGCGAAAUGUAAGAAAGCCUGAGUUCAUUUCAACUUCUGUCACCAAGGUAAUGAUGUCUUUAGGAGGGACAUCAACAUGAAUGGAGCUUAAAGGCUGUGAUCUCACGUACUCUAUGCCCUUUCCAACAACCUGCCUGUGUUUGUCCAAAGCUGCCUCGCGGGAAAUUCGACCAUAUGCAUCCAUUACCUGAGAUUAUAGCACGCAGAGAUGUUAAAAGCAAGCAAUAGCAAGUCAAGCUUUGCGCGAGAAAAGCAAGUUCCACGUACAAAGCUUGAGGGGGCACUGUUGAUACCAAAAAAAAAGGAUUACAGAAAAGGAAAAAAAUAAAUAAAAUAAAUAAAUGGAAGAGUAUUUAUUCAUGUCAUACUCUUCCGUUGGUUUUGAUUACACGCACAAAGCUUUUGAGUUCAAUUACAACUCUUGCAAGCAGGUGCUUGGAUAAGAACAAAUCAGUACGAGCACCAGAGUUUGAUUGUAACUCAAUUAUCCUAACCAAGCACUCUAUAUAAAGAGGCCAAUACCUUCAAAAAAAAAAAAAAAANAANNNNNNNNNNNNNNNNNNNNAACACCAACGGGAGGAGGCAGGCGGGCAACAAGGAGGAUCACAAAGGAGCGGUUCAUUCUUUACAAGGUUCGGAUGGAGAGUUCUCUUUCUCUUUGCGCAGCUCUCUUUAUGUUCUGUUGAUGGAGGCAUCACUGCCUUCAUAUUCCUCGCAGAUGGCCUCUGGUGUUCUUGGUUACUAUUGUUCCUGGUCACCCAAAUCCCUUGCGGAUCGAUCUGGUUAUUAUAGUUACUGUGUUCUGUUGGUUACUUGGUUACUACUGUGUUCUCUUGGUUACUUGGUUACUCAAAUCCCUUGUGGAUCGUUCCUGGUUACUCGUUACUUGGUUACACAAAUCCCUUGCGGAUCGUUCCUGGUUACUUGUUACCCUAAACAUUGGUUACUGGAUACUAUGGUUACUGGAGACUAAUGGCUACUAUGGCAAUGGUUCUAUGUUACAAUGGUUAUAUGACACUAUGGUUACUAUGAUUCUGGUUCUAUGGCUACUGUAGCACUAUGGUUACAAUAUGGUUCUGGUUCUUUGGGUACUUUGACACUGGUUACUAUAACAGAUCGGUUGCCCUUUGAUCCUACAAAACCAAACACAAAACCAAUACUCAAAAUUCCACCACAAAAGGCCAUUGUUGUCCCUGUUCCCUGUUAACCACCACAGCCAAAUACCUUUCCAAAUUCCAUGUUUCAAGCACCAACUCAAAUACUGUGCAAUGAAACUAAAAGAGACAAUAACAGAGGCUUACCCUCAAACUAUGACAAUCGAUCUAUUCCGAUACUACAACUACUACCUGUGUUUCAUACCUUCAUGCUGUAGCAGGAAUGGUGAUGAUAUUGCAAAAAGAGAACAGCAAGUUCCUGUCAAGUUAACCUCACAAAAACAUCCGAGCAAAGAGAGUCAUUGAUUCUUUGGCUCUGUCCCUUUAAAAAAAACAAAGGGGGCUCGGUGAGUUUUCUCAUGAUUCUUCUCCAAUAUCACAAGAUGACAAGAAUCAAGCUUGGCGGUGACCCUCCCAAACAGAGAAGGCUUACUCAAACAUAAAUAUGCAUUCACCACCAUGGAGUAAAACAAAAGAAGCAAACUUAAUUAAACAAGUUUUGUUUCUGGAAGUUCCAAGGCAGCGAGCCGAAUACACCCACAGUCAAAUAAAUUGGAGCUAAGAAGUUUAGAGUCUCAAAGCAAAAGACGUGUUCUUCCUCAAAUUAAAGCCUGCAAAUUGAAGCCUGCAGCAAAAUUAACCUACUCGAAGCUAAGCUCAUCCAUUCGACGCUAAGCUAAUCUACUCGAAGUUAAGGAAGCGAAGGAUAAUUAAUUUUGCCAUUGAAGAAUUGUAACAAAGCACCUAUCCAACACAAGGCAGUAACCAAAUUGAACGCUACCUGUGAAGAAACAAGCUUUUGACCAGUGGGAAAUCCUUCGAAAUUACUCUGAAGCAUAAUGGAGAUACUUUCGUCAUGAGGGUAUUUGAAUUGUAGGGAUGAAAGCAGGAACACAAUAGGGGUUAUCCUUACCCAAUUUCGCACAGUGAGAAAGAGCACAGCAAAUCUCAAGCCUCCCAGUGUUGAUAAAUUUCUUCUCGGCGACUUAGGAGCACUGCCAUCACCAAGUCGGUUGCUGCGCCAACCCCUCUCCAUUUGAUCAGUUUCGGCCUUCAAGUUCUUCUGGGUUACAAUAAACAAGGCAGCAGAAGAUCAAAAGAAAGAAAAGAAAUGAAGAAUGGGGAGAGGGAAAGCUAACGGGCCUCCACAUUGACGGAUGCUACUCACAAGCAAGGCCCAUGUCAAAUUUGGGCCCAUCUGAAAAGUUCAACGAGGCUCAAUAUAUGGGUGUUCAAAUCAAAAUACCCAAACUUCGGUUUCGUUUAAAAAUUCUUCGGAACCCGAAUGAAGUUGCGUUUGGUACAAAACCAAGAAAUACUCAAAUACCCAAAUUUUUGAACUACAAUGGUUUGAUCCCUUCACAGGGUAUGUAGGCAGUCCAGAUUUAAAUCUGGAUAUAACCACAUUUAAAGCCAAAUCGUUGGUUCUUUCCAAGCCAAAUUCUAAAACACAUAACCAAACCUUUCGACAAGUCAUCUACUUCGUCGAAACCCCAAAAGCCAUAAAACUUGAACUACGAGUGACUUGAUCCCUUAUGGGGUACGUAGGCAGCCUGUAAAACAAAUCGGGUGCAGUCGCAAUUCCCCUCGAACACACAUUCCCCAUUUGUUACUUUGUAAUUAGAAUCAAAGGGUCUUCCCCCGAAAGCAAGGGUUGUAAUUAAGAAAUUUAUUUUAUUUCGAAUGGGUCGAACCAGACAUAAUUAAAACUCUAUUUUAAUCAAUGAGAUAGAGUGAAAUUGUGUUGGGUAUAUUUAUUUACAAUUUUUGCUCAACAUAGUUUUUGGCGACUUCACUGGGGACUCUCAACUGGUCAUCAGACAAAUAAAUGACGAGUAUGCAGUCAAAAAUGAGAACCUUAUAUCAUACUACCAAAGAGUUAAAUAUCUCCUGGGACAAUUUCGAGAGAUAUAUGUUGGCCACAUUCCAAGAUCAGAGAAUGAUAAAGCAGACGCAUUGGCUAACUUGGCAGCUUCUUUAGUACUUCCUGAAGAGAAAGACAUCCAAAUAACAGUUGGAGAACGUCGAUUGCAGUCCUACGUCACUUGAACGAAUGGAAGCUACCAAUGAAACAAAUGUAGUUUCUGUGUUCGAAACUGAGGAAGAAUCUGAUUGGCUCAAAUUGAUGCAGUGAACGAGCAAGAGAGGAAAGUAUGAUUCAAAGUCUCCGAGCAAACACCACAAAGCUCACAUCUAGAAACCCAAGGAAUACCUCGACGCUGAAGUAAAACAUCAGAAAUAACUCUACCUCUUAACACCUUCCAUGCUAGGAAAGACAUUCUUGGCAGAAUAUAUUUAGCCCAUAAUCUCUUACCCCAAAUUACUGGAUUAGAAGAAUGCCGCAUAAAAGUAUAGGCUUGUUUUGCGGUUAACUCAUCGGAGGCUGAAGAGGUCCAUAUAAGUUUGUCAUUAACUGAAGGAUCUUCUGACACAGGGACUUGAUUGAUCAUACCACAUAAGGCUGGGUAGUGCAACUGUAGUAAUGGAGGAAGAUUCCAUGAACCAUUGUCUAUAUAUUUUGACACCAAAUCCGAGUUAUCCUGCAUCAACACAUUAGAACCAAAGAACUCAUUUAUUGGCCUACCCAUAAACUUGUCGCGCCAAAAGUAAAUUCCAUUCCCAGAACCAAUGAACCAUUGAGAAUUAUCUUGAACAGUCUUCCAGAAUUGACGAACACCAGGCCAUAUAGAAGAAGGAGCAUAAGAUUUCCGUCUAGAGAAACGAUUGCGAAUAAAAGCACAACCCUCAGAUUGAGCUGUAUAGAUUUCCCAGCAACGUUUCAAUAAGAGAGAUCGAUUAAGCAGAACUAGUUGUUUGAGCCCCAAGCCACCUUCUGCAAUUGGGGAACAACAAGACUUCCAAGCCACAAGAGGGAUCCCUCUUUUAUCAAUUGAGCCAGACCACAGAAAGUUUCGGCACCAUACCUCAAUUUUUCGCACCACAGACACAGGCCAUUCAUAUACUUGAAAAAUGUAUACCAACAUGCUAAAAAUAACAGACUUGAUAAGCUGCAAACGUCCUGCCAUUGACAAAAAAGAACUCACCCAACUCGAUAACUUUAUCCUUAUUUUGUCAACAAUCUGAUGGAAAUAAGAAGCACGAGGUUUGCCAUGAAAAAUAAGGGCACCCAGAUACAUGAAUGGAGCAGACCCCAAGGGAAUACCCAAGAAGUUCGAAAUAGAAUGCCGCCUUGAAUGUAUACUAUUUCCAAUAAAAACCUGAGACUUCCCUUUGUUGAUAACUUGACCUGAAACUCUACCAUACUCAUCGAAGAACCGCAUAAUCCGCGAUAAAUUCCGCCUAUUGCCCCGAAAAAAAACAAUAACAUCAUCUGCAAAUAGGACAUGAGAUGGAGCAAGAGUAUUUCGUGGAGAAGAGAUACGCUGCAGUUGUCCCGAUGAAACAAGUAAAGAGAUCCCACGACUAAGGACUUCUUCUGCUAAGCAAAAGAGCAAGGGAGAAAGAGGGUCACCUUGACGCACACCCCUUUCACAAGAAAAAUACCCCACAGUCCUCCCAUUAAUCAACAGAGAAAGCUUGGCUGACAGAAGCAAGGCACGCACCCAUUGUACAAAGAUCGGAUCAAACCCAAAAGCCUGAAGAACAUGAAGAAGAAAAUCCCAUGACAGAGUAUCAAACGCCUUUGUAAUAUCAACCUUAAUUGCAAGGUUACCCCCCAUGACAUUUUGAGUUCAACAAAUUAAAGCACUCUGAAGUAGUUAAUAUACAGUCUGAUAUGUUCCUCCCUGCAACAAAAGCAUGCUGUUGAGGAGAAAUAAUACGAGAUGCCACUGAUGCCAACCGGAUAGCUAUGAUCUUUGGGAUAAUUUUAAACACAAAGUUGGUGAGGGCAAUAGGCGAAACUGCUUUAUGGAGUCGGCAUGAUCAACUUUGGGGAUUAAGAUGAUAAUACCUGAGUUAAAGGAAGGAGCCAAAUAACCAUGUUGAAAAAAUACUGAACAGCCUUAACAACAUCAGCACCAACAACAUCCCAGCAAGAGACGAAAAAAUGGCCAUUAAAUCCAUCUGGCCCCGGGGCACUAUCAGGAUCCAUUGAUUUGACAGCUGCCCAAAUUUCCUCUGAUAAUGGAACACUAGUAAGCAUCGUAUUUUCCUCAGGAGUUACCAUAGAGUGAAUCACUUUGGACACCAAGCCACUAUCUUCAUACUCUGCAUGUUUAGUAAAAAGAUUUUUGUAAUAAUCAACUAUAUGAUUUUGGAUAUAAUGAGGAUCCUGAAGCACCUGAUCUCCAUCACGAAGCAGAGUAAUAGAAGAACGAUUUCGGCGCACUUUACACAAAGCAUGAAAAUAAGAAGAAUUACGAUCACCUUCUGAUAACCAUCGCAACCUUGACUUCUCACGCCAAAGAAUUUCCUGAUGCAGAAUAGACUCAUUCAAAAUGGCCUGCAAUUCAGUCUCUUUUUCAAACUCUUCAUCUGAUCCCCCAGAAGCUGCAAUUUUAUUUUGAAUAUCAGCAAGGGCUGCAAGGUCAAACUCAACCCGACGGUGAACAUCCCCAAAGACCUCCCAGUUCCAAGUACGGAGAGAUUUCCUUAAGGUACGCAGCUUAUAUUGCAGGACAGAAUAAGGACAACCAAACGAAGUAGUAGAGGACCAACAUCCUUUGACAAAACUCAUAAAAUCCUUAUGCUCCAACCACAUUUUUCUAAACCGAAAGAGACUAAAACGAGACCCUGUAAACUUAGAAAAGGACAUUAGUAGUGGAUUAUGAUCAGAGCAAGUUCUGGGUAAGGUGCAACAGUCAAACUGAUCCCAUUCCUCCAUCCAAUUCAAAUUAGCAAGACUUCUAUCUAAUCUUAGCUCCACAUUACCACGAAAACCACGCCGUCUCACCCAUGUAAACUCUGCCUCUUUAGUAUCUACAUGAAUAAGUUCACAAACAUCUGACAUUGUCUGAAAUUCCUCACAUGAUCGCCGACAUAGAGGAGCACCUCCUUUCUUUUCAUGAGCACCAAGAACUGCGUUAAAAUCUCCAAAAACCAACCAUGGUCCUGUAACAAAACGACCUUUGAAAUCAGUAAUAUCUUCCCAUAACUUCCGGUGGCCAGAGAUUGUGGUACGAGCGUAGACAGCUGUAAGAAAACAGUUUACCGAAUCAAACAUAACUUGUAAAGAAACCUGCUGAUCCGAGGUAGACAACACCCGAAUCCAUGGAGCCAGAGAAGUCUUACAAAAAACCCAUAGAUUAGGUAAUGCAGAACCCCGGUCAUUUGCACCAACAAAUCGCAUGCCUAACGAACGCCAAAAGAAUAGAGGAAUUGAAGUCAAGGCAACGAAAGGCUCAGCUAUACAUAAAACUUCCAGGUUGUGAACCCGUACAAACUGUUUCAAAGCAUCUUGAGUGGGGACAUUAGCAAUGCCCCGUAUGUUCCAAUAAAGAACCCUCAUUUAGGAGUGUCUUUGGAGCGACGGAGAUAGGCUUCCCUAUUCUCCUUCGAAGCAGCCUUCCUCUUUUGAGACCUGGACAUAACAACAGUAAAACCAUCAUCAAUGUCAACUCGUUCUGUCUCCUCAUACCAGCUAUCAAUUCGAGUUACUGAAUUUGCAGCAACAGCAACCCCAAUGUCAGAAGACUGCUCAUGCAUACUACCACCGGCAGAGUCAUCUUCACUAUUCUGCUCGUUCUGAUCAAUUGCAUACCUAGUAUCAUCUUCUUGCUCAACCACAUUACCAUGGAUAGCUACUGGUACCAAAACCACAUUCACCCCCGGCUCAACCACUUCUUGGACAGGUGCCACCACUUCCACUAGCGGUUCCGGCACAACACUAGAUAUCACUAGUUGGCCGACCGGUGCUGGAGACUUCUGCACAAAGGAAGGACCCUCACCAAAAUCUUCCCUGGGGUUUGGAGUUGAAUCAAUAAUCAUGCUCUUACCUCGAUCUGCUGGAUUAGAUGGGUUUUUAGGCACAUACACUUUGGAGACUCGUUGCUGAUCACGGUUCCUGCGAGAUCGUCUACUACGCUUGCGCGAUCGACCUCUGCCUUUCUCAGUCUCAUUAUCCAUUGGAACCGGGUCAGAAGAUCUAUGCACAUACUUGCAAGCUGUGACAAGGUGCCCAACGUUGCCACAAUGAGCACAAAUAUGUGGAAGCUUCUCAUAAUCCACAGUCUGAACAAAAGACGAACCGCACUUACGCUUGACAACCAAUUCAUGCGGUGGAUCAACAGAGAGAUCAAUAUCAACCAAUAUUCUAGCAAAUAGGGUUCUAGGUUCCCAAAACUCAAGCCCUAGAUCCUAAAACCUCACCCACACCUGAGCAUUAGUAUUACGUUGAUUCGCUGGGGAGAAAUUUGGAACCCAUCGCAUGAAACGCAAGAAGCCAGGCUUGAGAGCAAUUGCACCCUUUACCCAGACUGUAGAGAGAUCCUCAUCCGUAGAGAAGCUAAACGUGAAAUAACCUUUUCCCAUGGGAAUAAUCUUCCAAGCCCCUAGACUUCCCCAAAGAAGAGAAAGCUUAUGAGACAGAUCUGAUGCAGAGUAGGGUUUAUCCCUCAAACCCAAUUGCACCCUUCCGAUUAACAUAUGUUUACAAUUAUCCAAACCCGAUUGAUAGCCCUCUUCUGAAAUAGUAACAGUUGUCUUGCCAUCUAAAAUCUCAGGAAUAGGUAGAUCAUCAAUUGGGAUGAAAGCUUGCGCCGCCGCCGCCGCAUAAGAUUUCGUCGGCUUCGCAGCCCCCUCGUCGAGAAAAGACCACGGGCAGAAGGGACGAUGCUGAACAGCCAUGACGUCGUGAAGCAAACGGAACUCGAAUUCAAGGAUUUACUGCAGGGAGGCUCCAGCACGGGGAAACCCUAGCAGAGCCAUCACCAACAUAAUGUAACUCGAUGCAUCACAUCCAUUAACACACUAUAGUCUUACCUUUUAAGUUGAGUCAAUGCAAGAGUUGCACUAUUUAGACCAUUUGGUUCUUCCGAAAAUAUGUAUUAUAUUUUUGAGAAUUUCAACGUCUGUAGUAGAGUCGACGAGGAUUUUAGAUUUGAUUUCGUCGAUGGCGUUGUCGAGCUAUUGCGUCAAUAGGAUGAUGAAGAGCAACCGGAAUCACCUCUCUUCUGACGCAAUUUGUUUUUCAAAGAUCUGGUCCGUUGCACUGGCCGGUCGAAGCCUUUUCAGUUCUCAAAACAGUUCAGAAACUACAGGUCUGAUAAUGAAAUGCAUAAAACAUUUAUAACUAUUGGUAAUUUAUAUCCUAGAGUUGUUCGAGUGUACUAACCACAGGAAAUAACGAUCUAGCUAGACUACCUUAUUUUCGUUAGGGCUGCUCUAAUUAGUCAACAUAUGCAGCUAGGUGAUGAUAAACUUACCCAAUUCGUUGUGAAAAUAAUUGAACCAUCAGUAGCCGUGAUAGUCCUUACGUACCUGCCCUUUCAUGAGCCUUAAUAUUUGGUGGCUUAUUAGCUACGCACUAAUGGUAGUUAAUUGUGCUUAUUUUGUGCAUGUGUGUUCUAAUACAAUUACCUACCUAGUUCUAAUUGUUCUAAUUCGUCGUGGAAUGUUUUCAGAGGAGAAAACUGAAUGGGGUAGCAUAGAGCCCUAUUACAAAAUAAUGUAUCUAUAACCUUCUCUAAUUUACAUAGUAAUUGACGCAAUUUGGCCGAACUGUUUCUGAACACACUGCUUCAGUUCUUUAUAAACCACGUACCAUAUGUAUGUAUUCAAGUGUCAGAUAUACUGAACCUACAUCGCCAAAAUGGAGAGAAUUCAGGUCAGUAUAAUUUCCAAACACACCGUCAAACCAUCAGCUUCCUCUUCACUACUUCGGGAUUGUCUAUGGUACAGCGCUGUAUGCCAUACAUCCUCUAACAGGACUUGUGUGCACGUGCCUUGCAGUGGGGGUGGGUGUUUUGUUUUGAAAUUUUUAGCCUUGAAAGCAGGCUGCAUAUCAUGCAGGGCUGCAGAUAGAAUUUUCCCUGAAUAUCACGCAUAUCAGCGCUGCAUGAUAUGUAUGAUUGUCUAUGGUACAACGCUGCAUAUCAUGCAGCGCUGCAUUAAAGCAGACUGCAUAUCAUGCAACGCUGCAGGAUAUGCAGCCUGCUUUCAAGGCUAAAAAUUUCAAAAUAAAACACCCCCACCUGCAAGGCACGUGCGACACAAGUCCUGUUAGAGGAUGUAUGGCAUACAACGCUGUACCAUAGACAAUCCCACUACCCUACUUCAGCCUUACAAGCUUACCCUGCUCGACCAGCUCACUCCUCCAUCGUAUGUCCCCAUGGUAUUCUUCUACCCCAUUACUGGCCCUGCAGUCUUCAAUCUUCAAACCCUAGCUGACUUAAGACAUGCCCUUUCCGAGACUCUCACUUUGUACUAUCCACUCUCUGGAAGGGUCAAAAACAACCUAUACAUCGAUGAUUUUGAAGCCGGUAUCCCAUACCUUGAGGCCCGAGUGAAAUGUGACAUGACUCAUUUUCUAAGGCUUCCAAAAAUCGAGUGCCUAAAUGAGUUUGUUCCAAUAAAACCAUAUAGUAUGGAAGCAAUAUCUGAUGAGCUUUACCCCUUGCUUGGAGUUCAAGUCAACAUUUUCGAUUCUGGGAUAGCAAUAGGUGUCUCCGUCUGUCACAAGCUCAUCGAUGGCCGAACGUCAUACUGUUUUCUCAAGUCCUGGGGUGCUGUUUUUCGUGGGUGUCGUGAUGAAAUCAUACAUCCUAAUCUCUCUCAAGCAGCAUUGCUUUUCCCACCGAGAGAUGACCUGCCUGAAAAGUAUAUAGCUUUGAUGGAAGGGUGGUCGAUUGCCGUAAAGAAAGUUGCUACAAGGAGAUUUGUAUUUGGUGCGAAAGCCAUAUCUGCAAUUCAAGAUGAAGCGAAGAGCGAGUCCGUGCCCAAGCCAUCACGAGUUCAGGCCGUCUCUGGUUUUCUCUUGAAACAUCUUCUCUCUGCUUCUCGGGCAUCAUCAUCAGGUAAAUCAGUUUAUGUGUCUUCUUAAAAGUGCACCACAUGCAAUUGCGUGAUUGGCAAAGGAGGGCUAGGCGUGAUUAAUUAAGCUAGAGAAGACAAGGUUUUUCCAUUAAUUGUUAGUGAGGCUUGCUCAAAUGCGAGCGUACAAGAGUUUUCAGUAGCUUUAUUUCUGCUGCUUAGGUUAUACCGGAUUUGUUUUGUAAGUUAGAAAAAUACAACUUAUUGGAUAUUGUUAUAAGCAUCUAAUUAAUGAUAUGAAUGAAAAAGAAAAAAGAUCGUACACUUAACAUUUUUCUGCUAUUAUUUCAUACUUAUUUUAUAUUUUUGUAUUACAUAUACUGUACAUAGCUUAAAAAUGAGAAAAUAUAUGAACUUUUGCAGGUACUACUUCAACAAAACUUUCUAUAGCAGCUCAGGUAGUGAACUUAAGAUCACAGAUGAACAUGGAGACAACGUUGGGUAAUGCCAUUGGAAACCUGAUGUGGUGGGCUCCGGCCAUACUAGAGUUAAAUCAUAAAGCACGAGAGAGCAGCGAUCCUAAGCUGUGUGACUUGGUUAUCUUGCUCAAUGAAUCUGUCAAACAAUCUAACAGUGAUUACUUCGACACUUUCAAGGGUAAAGAGGGAUAUGGAAGAAUGUGUGAGCAUCUAGAUAUGGAGGGGACUGUAAGUUCUGUAGAACCAGCACCAGAGAUAUAUUCAUUCUCGAGCUGGACUAGAUUUUUCGACCAAAUUGAUUUUGGAUGCAUGGGGGAGGUCAUCUUGGAUUGGAGUUACCGGAAAACAAUCUGCAUAUUGGAAUUCCACAGUUUUAGUACCAACACAAUGUGAUACUGGAAUUGAAGCGUGGGUGAAUCUAGAUGAAGAGAAAAUGGCUAUGCUAGAACAAGAUCCCCAGUUUCUAGCAUUAGCAUCUCCAAAGACCCUAAUUUCAAGGUAUUGAUUAUGAAAGAUUAUGUGGCUCGUGCAAUGUUUCCAUUUGCAGUGAAUAAGGAUUAAAUUAGUUCCCCGGCCAAUUAAUAAGAAGCAAGGUAUGAUAGACUAUGGCUACGUAUGUUAGUAUGUUAUCCGAAUGUGCUUCGUUAUGCUUUUAACCAAUAUAGCUCUGUUUUGUAACAAUGCUCUAUUGAGCUUCUAACUAUAGAGUUAUUUUUCUUGAUUAGAAAAAGAAACUAUGCAAGUUUUGUUUUGUUAAGCUAUUCUGUUUCUAAAAGAAAGGCUAUUCUGUUUCUAAAACGGGAUGCAUGUAUUACCUAAAAAGAUGAUUCACCUAUAAUUAUUUUUCAAGUAAAUGAUUAUUUGAUAGCAAUCACGCCGUGUAUUUCUAUAGCUAAAAUUGUAAUUUAGAUCAGUGACAACAUGAUUAAAAGUUACAUAUUCUGAUACAUUUGUUAUUUAACGACAAGUGUGGCCAUAAUGCCUCACCUAGUCACCUAAUGCGAAGACCUCUACGAGAGACUAAUGUCGUCUGAUCUUCUUUUCUUAAUCAAAAGAAACGAAAAUGGCCACAAUGCCUCACUAUUCAUAGAACCAUACAAUAAUUUGGAACAUAUGCAUGGAUGCAAAGAAAAAUAACACAAGAACCAUCAUAAUUUCACAUUAUAUGAGAAACUUAGCCAAAUCCGAAUCACAUCCAUGUUGGCCAAGAGUGACUAAAGAAGACCACCCAGAAAGCUAGAAAACCAUAAAAUCCAGAAAACUUGAAUAAGCUAGGGAAAAAACAAAAAUGUGACAUUCCAUUUCUUCUUGCGGUUUUGUUAGGCCAAAUCAAAAUCUCAAUGACCCUGCAAUCAUUUACACACACUCUUUCUCAAUCUCUGCAAAACUGACUGCUUCCCCUGAAAACUUGCGCAAUAGGGUACCUAGCUCUCUGGCCUUUUCUUUCUAAUGCACAAUUUAUGGCUUUUGGUAAUGAUGAUUUUAUGCUUGUGGAUCUCAGAUGGGUUUGUUUUGUUUUGGGAUUUUUAUAAAUGAAUGCAUUGAAAAUGUUGAAAGCUUAUGCCUUUGUUCCUUGGUUCAGUGUUCUGGUUUUGUGUACGUACGAGAGUUGAAAUGUGAUCUCUAGUAUCGGUAAAGAGAAAUGUUCUAACCAUGCUAGUGUUAGUAAUUUAUCUUCUAAAGUUGUUUGAGUACUUUACUCUCUUACUUUACUAACUAAGCAUAGGAAAUAACGACCUAAACUACCUGAUUUUCGUUAGUGCUUGUAAACACGAAAAUUCCUGUAACGAAUAACAGAAAGACAUGUGUACAAAAUAAUAUAUUUGUAUUGAUUGAAUUUGCGGGUUACAAUCUCUAUGGGUAUUCUUUUAACAAGAAUGUCCUCUGAUUCGAUCUCCGAUGUUGAUUUGAUCCAAGGGUGACAAGCACUUGAUCUUGAAUUGAACUGUUGUAGUUUGAACUUCUUAUUGUGUUGACGAUUUGUAGAAGGAAGUUGACCAAGGGCCAUAGAGGCUUGAUCUUGGUCGAAUAUGGGCCGCGAGAGGUGUCACGUGGUGAACGUUCUUCGACUUGAUAGCGGAUGAAUCGGCACGUGUGUUUGGUACUUGUUGAUUCUCCACGAGGUUGUUGAAGAACUUGGUAGAAGUUUUGAUUUGUUGAAAGACUUGAAGACGAGGGUUGAUCAAGGGCCGUAGAGGCUUGACGUUGAUCGAGUUUGGGCCGAGCAGUUCCACAUGGUGGUUGCUCUUCGUCUUGUAGUUGGUGAAGAUGUCAGCUAUUUGGCAACUUGGGACUCUUCGGGAUUUGACAACCUAUAGGCUUGAGGUUGAUGAAGAAUCAACUAUUUGGCAGCUUGAUGAUUCUUCAAGGGUUUUGGGAGAAUUCUAAACUCUCGGGAGUAAUUUUUCUCUCUUGUCUGAAAGUCGUCCUCUUGAUAUGAGAGGGGGUAUUUAUAGUGUUAAUGCUCCUCCGUAAAUGGAAUGCAUUGAAGUCACAGCUUUAAUUAUAUUUCCUUAAUGAUAUAAUUAAAUCAAUCACUUUUGAUUGAUUGAUUCAAUUAUUCAAUUUCCCAUAAUUAAAUCAAUCAGUCUUAAUUGAUCGAUUUAGUUAUGAUCGAUAAGGUAUUUCACUAAUUUGAUUAAAUUCCGACUUCCUUUUCGAUAAUUGAUUUGAUUUGAUUGAUGUUUGAUUAUCGAUUGACAUUUAAUAUUUUAUUUUAGUUGGGAUUGAUGAUUUUGUUGUCGACCGACCAUUCACACGCCGCCACGUGUUAUUUUCGAAGACUUUUCAACUUUGCUGACUCACGAGCCACGUAUGCACGAGACUUUUCAACGUCUCUAAUUUACAUAGUAAUUGACGCAAUUUGGCCGAACUGUUUCUAAACACACUAAGCUUCAGUUCUAUAUAUACCGCGUACCACAUGUUUCAUCAAGUGUCAGAUAAUACAGAACCUACUUCGCCAAAAUGGAGAAAAUUGAGGUCAGUAUAAUUUCCAAACACACCAUCAAACCAUCAACUUCCUCUUCACCACUUCAGCCUUACAAGCUUACCCUGCUCGACCAGCUCACUCCUCCAUCGUAUGUCCCCAUGGUAUUCUUCUACCCCAUUACUGGCCCUGCAGUCUUCAAUCUUCAAACCCUAGCUGACUUAAGACAUGCCCUUUCCGAGACUCUCACUUUGUACUAUCCACUCUCUGGAAGGGUCAAAAACAACCUAUACAUCGAUGAUUUUGAAGAGGGUGUCCCAUACCUUGAGGCUCGAGUGAACUGUGACAUGAAUGAUUUUCUAAGGCUUCCGAAAAUCGAGUGCCUAAAUGAGUUUGUUCCAAUAAAACCAUUUAGUAUGGAAGCAAUAUCUGAUGAGCGUUACCCUUUGCUCGGAGUUCAAGUUAACAUUUUCAACUCCGGAAUAGCAAUCGGGGUCUCCGUCUCUCACAAGCUCAUCGAUGGAAGAACUUCAGACUGUUUUCUCAAGUCGUGGUGUGCUGUUUUUCGUGGUUCUCGUGACAAAAUCAUACAUCCUAAUCUCUCUCAAGCAGCAUUGCUUUUCCCACCAAGAGAUGACUUGCCUGAAAAGUAUGCCCGUCAGAUGGAAGGGUUAUGGUUUGUCGGAAAAAAAGUUGCUACAAGGAGAUUUGUAUUUGGUGCGAAAGCCAUAUCUGUAAUUCAAGAUGAAGCAAAGAGCGAGUCCGUGCCCAAGCCAUCACGAGUUCAGGCUGUCACUAGUUUUCUCUGGAAACAUCUAAUCGCUACUUCUCGAGCACUAACAUCAGGUAUGUAAAAUCAGUUUAGCAACAAGCCAAAUACUAAAGCAACUAAAUAAAAACCUAUUGUAUUUGGGGUAGUCCCUUAUUAGCUGUUGUCCUAAACUUCUAACGAUAUGAACUUUUUUCUCAAAAGAAAAAAAUAGUACACUUAACAUUUUCUGUUAUAAUUUCAUACUUAUUUAUAUAUUUUUAUUACAUACAUAGCUCAAAGAAUGAGAAAAUAUAUGAACCUGCAGGUACUACUUCAACAAGACUUUCUAUAGCAACCCAGGUAGUGAACAUAAGAUCACGGAGGAACAUGGAGACAGUGUGGGAUAAUGCCAUUGGAAACUUGAUAUGGUUCGCUCCGGCCAUACUAGAGCUAAGUCAUACAACACUAGAGAUCAGUGAUCUUAAGCUGUGUGACUUGGUUAACUUGCUCAAUGGAUCUGUCAAACAAUGUAACGGUGAUUACUUUGAGACUUUCAUGGGUAAAGAGGGAUAUGGAAGCAUGUGCGAGUAUCUAGAUUUUCAGAGGACUAUGAGUUCUAUGGAACCAGCACCAGAGAUUUAUUUAUUCACGAGCUGGACUAAUUUUUUCAACCAACUUGAUUUUGGAUGGGGGAGGACAUCAUGGAUUGGAGUUGCAGGAAAAAUUGAAUCUGCAUUUUGCAAUCUCAUAACAUUAGUUCCAACACCAUGCGAUACUGGAAUUGAAGCGUGGGUGAAUCUAGAAGAAGAAAAAAUGGCUAUGCUAGAACAAGAUCCCCAGUUUCUAGCACUAGCAUCUCCAAAGACGCUAAUUUCAAGAUAUUGAUUAAGGAAGAUUAUGCGGCUCGUGCAAUGUUUCCAUUUUGUUGUGAUUAAGGCUUAAAUUAGUUCACCAGCCAAUCAAUAAGAUGCAAGUAUGAUAGACUCGGUCUACGUAUGUUAUCCGAAUGUGUUUCCACAUGCUUGUAACCAAUAUAGCUCUUGUUUGUAACAAUGCUCUAUUAAGCUCUUCUAUCCAUAAAGUUAUUUCUCUAUUAAAAAGAAAACUAUACAAGUUUUGUUAAGUUUUUAAGGUAAGAUGCAUGUAGUACCCAAAAAGAUGGUUGACCUGUCAUUAUUUUCAAGUACAUGAUUAUCCGAUACAAUUACAUCAAAUAUUUCUAUAGCUAAAAAGUAUGUAAUUUUGAUCCGUGACAACAUGAUUAAAAAGUUAUAUAUUAUGAUGCAUUUAUCCUCUAACGACAAGCAUGGUCAUAAUGUCUCACCUCAUCACCUCACCAAGCGCGGAUCCAGUUCACAAGUGGGUAAGGCUCAAGCCCAACCAAGAAAAUUGGGGGAAAAAAAAACCUAAGUAUAGAUAUAUAUUUUUUUGGGUGAUAUAUCAUAUAUGCCCAGCCAUCAAGUGACCAAGCCCAACCCACCUAACUCAACCCAUCCCACUAACUACCCAAGUCCACAAUCAUCACUCAUCACUCAUCCACCCAACCUCCUUCAUCGAAGGAGUCCUUUAACUAAUCAGCUUAAACACCAAGUCUAAAAGUCUUCCCUGCUCUUCCCCUCCGCCUCCACUCAGUCACUCACCUAUGACCUAUCCCGGCUAUCCGGCUAUCCCUCUUCCCCUCCAGUCCUCCACGGCUCCACCAUAAUCUCCUUCUUCCCGGCCUCCUCCGGUCCUCCGAUUCCUCCCGGAUAGCGACGACUCGCCUCCGGCGGUCCGGACCUCCGCGGCUCCGCCUCCAGUCCUCCACUCACCUAUCCCUCUUCCAGCUGCUAGAAAGCUUGUUCGAGACUUGGUCCUCCACAGACAACCCAUUAGUCCAUUACCCAUCUUUCUUCACUCUCAGCCAGCAUGGUUGUACUAGAAAUUUUUUUUUGGCCUUCGGCCAAAGUUCAAGCCCACCCCAUCUUUAAAUCAUGGAUCCGCCACUGCACCUCACCAUAGUGUCCUAUCCUCUUAGGAGAAGGUAGGCACCUAAUGCAAAGGCCUUUAUGAGAGACUAAUAUCGUCUGAUCUUCUUUUCUUAAUCAAAAGAAAUGAAAAUGGCCACAAUGCCUCACUAUUCAUAGAGCCAUACAAUACUCUGGAACAUAUGCAUGGAGACAAAGAAAAAUAACACAAGAACCAUUAUAAUUUCACUUUAUACGGGAAACUUAGCUAAAUCCGAAUCAUGGGCGGAGCCAACCCAGGUGAAAUUUUGAAGCCCAAAAAAUUACCUGAAACAUCGUCGUUUGGGUGUAGGUUAUUUCUCCGUUUACUUCUUCUCAAUCUUAGUCAUAACUCACACCAUUGCGUCCGUAGCCCGUCGUUGUCGCUAGAGCGGUCGCCAUUUCCCAUAGCCCGCGCCGUCGCCCGUAGACCACAUCCCGAGUCAGUCAGUCCCCACUUGGCUACUUCCCCAGGUAUGGCUCAAUCGGAUUGCUUAUAUUCUGAUCGUGGACAUAGCAGGCUUCAAUUCAAAAGCCAUCAUAUUCAUAUGCUUCAAUGUUGCUUUACUUCGUCUAUAACUAGAGUUUCAGCUUUGCUUCGUCUUCAAUGUUGAUAUGUUGAUAUAAAAUAUUAACUUGAUUAGGAUUUGUUGAUAUAGAAUAUUACCUUGAUUAGGAUUUGUUGUUAUGUAAUAUGUAUUAGGAUAUUUAUUACUCAUAUUAGGAUUUGUUAUAUGAUCUUACAUCCUUACGAAUGAAUAUACAUCAACACAAUCGAAAUCUGCAUGGUCAUAUUAGCCUUAACUAGUUCAGUCCAAUUCAUAUUAGUCUUAAACUAGUUCAGUCUAAUUCCUCAUGGGUAUAUGCUGAACUUUAAGAUGUUGAUCUUCUAUAAUAACUGAGUUCGAUACCAGAAAUCUUUGAUGAUUGUCCACAUAUGUUAUCUUAUAAUCCUAUAUUAAUUUGUACUAAUCUCAUAGUCUUAAUUUGAAAGCUCCUUAUACGUCUUAACUUGGAUAUGGAUGUGGAUUUGAUCUUAUUAUAUGUAAUAUUAAAGUGAAGUUGUUGUAUUACACAGAAUGUUUGAUGAAUAAAUAACAAAUUGAUCGCGUCAAAAGGCUAGAUCAAAAAAUUUCUUGCACCAUCGAACAAAUUUUCUUGUGUAUACAAUUUCAUGGUUCCGCCACAUUGGCAACAAAGAGUGAUUGGAAAAGAAGAACACCCAGAAAGAUAAAAACCAUAAAACUUGUUUAAGCGAAAAAAACAAAAGUAUGCCAUUCAUUUCUUCUUGCGGUUUUGUUAGGCCAAAAAUCAAAAUCCCAUGAUACCCAAUCAGUUACACACUCUCCCUCUCAAUCUCUACAGAACUGACUGCUUCCCCUGAAAACUUGCGCAAUAAGGUACCCAUCUCUCUGGCCUUUUCUUUGUAAUGCAUAUAAGUUCCUGUAAAUUUUAAAGCUUUUGGAAUGAUGAUUUUAUGCUUGUGGAUCUCAAGAUGAGUUUGUUUGUUUUUUUCGGGAUUUUUAUAAUGAAUGCAUUGAAAAUGUUGAAAGCUUAUGCCUUUGUUCCUUGGUUCAGUGUUUUGGUUUUGUAUACGAGAGUUGAAAUGUGAUCUCUAGCUUGACUGUUGGUAUUGGUAAAGAGAAAUGUUCUAGAAAACCAUGCUAGUAUUAGUAAGUUAUCUUCUAAAGUUGUUCGAGUACUGUACUAAGCAUAGGAAAUAACGACCUAAGCUACCUUAUUUUCGUUAGUGCUAGCUGCUAUGAGAAACUUACCCAAUUCGUUGUUAAAAAUAGGGAAAAUACCCAAAUACUCAAAAAUUAGAAAGCUAAAACCCAUUCCAAUGAAAUUAUAAUCCUUUAGCUCAUUCCUAUGUUACACCGAUACUCCACCCCACGGACACUCCAACACUCCCGACACACCGAUAUCGAUACGAUACACCAAAAUGUGUGUCCGACACGCCACGUGGCGUGUCAAAAAAAGUUGACUUUUUAGACACGUUACGUCAGCCUGAGACACGCCAAGUCAGUGUGUAUUGAUUGAAAAAAAAAAAUACAGAACUAAAAGUCUAAAACCUAAUCGAAGAGGAAGCCCACUUUAAAGAAGCCGCAUAGAAGAGGAACGAUGUCACCGUUCACUAUCACUGCGAGAACGACGUCGUCUGUCCAUGUCAGUGUGAUUGUUCCUCCGAUGACACCACUCUGCGAGAACGACGAGAACAGCGUCGCCUUUCUCUGUUACAGCGACUCGUCCUCCGUCGGCCUAAACCCUCUCUUUAGUGUAAGGUUAAUCUUAAUCUCAGCUUUGACGUGUUUGGUGAUUGCAGUCUCAUUUGCAGUAACAGAAAAGCAUAUAAGAUUUUAAUCAUUUUAUGAUCAUUCUGAUACCACUUAUAGAUUUUUAAGGCAAUGUGCUAUUGAAGCAUCUGCACUGUGAUGUUAAGUGUCAUGAUAUUGCUCAAUUGCUGAUAGGGUAGGAUGGAGCUAGACAUUUGAGACUUUGCAAAAUUGAGUUUAUACCUACUAGUAUUAGAUCAUCAAUUAGUUGAGAGUUUGUAGGAGGUCAGGUUUUAUACUUGGUGAGAAACAUCGGCUCAUCUGUAUUUGUAAGGAAGAUUUAAUUGAAAGGAGUUGUGUAUGGAUUGCUUAUUUGUUUAUCUUUGCUCUGUUAAUUGUUAAUAUGUUAUGAUAUGCUGCUGUGUCUAUGCUGAUGUGCUUAUGCUACUGUGUGUCUAUGCUACUGUGUCUAUGCUAUUGUCUUAUGUUGUUUUGUUGGAUUAUUAUGAUUAGGAUGAGUUCAAGUGCGACAUCUACUGAACCUAGUGUUGAAUCAACUAAGCCUGAAAAAUUAGAUGCUCCUCUAUCAAGGAUAAAGGAUGAUGCCAAUGCAUGCGUGCCUUGCUCUUAUGUAUUUUGAAUAUCUCAGUUAUGGGGUUUUAGGCAGUUGGUGUUAUUAUAGGGUUAGGAAAGUCGGAUUUUCAUUCAGUUUGAUGAAUGUGUUGAAUUAGAUAAAACUAUUUAGUAAUCAUCCUUUAGAUUAAAUAUUGACUCUCUUUUAUGUUAUUUGUUACAGUUAUGCAAUUGCUUAAAUUUAGAGCAUUAUUUAAGCAAUGUGAUAAAUUUAUUCAUAUUUGAGCAUUUUUUUAUUAAUUAGAAAUAUACAAAUAAGUAAUUAUAUUUGCCGUGUCUAAGCCGUGUCGAAAAUGUAGUCUUUGAGUUUUGCCGUGUCGCCGUGUCAGUACGUAUCGUGUCGCCGUAUCCGUGUCCGUGUCCAUGUAACAUAGGCUCAUUCCAAUGAUUCUUAUGCAAAAGACAUUAUUANNNNNNNNNNNNNNNNNNNNCUCUCUCUCUCUCUCUCUCUCUCUCUCUCUCUCCUCUCUCUCUCUCUCUCUCUCUCUCUCUCUCUCUCUCUCUCUCUCUCUCGGUGUACGACGAUGCAAGGUUGAAGACGCAGCCUCCUACUGAGUCGACGAGACCGCGCUCGUGGUCGUGAUUCUCCUCAACAGCGACAUCGAUUUUGGCGGCACCUCUCGGAGAUGAUCCUCAUCUGCCAGAACCUCUGCAACAAUCUCUAGAGCCCUAACGAGCACAUCCGGGGCGUCACGCUCCAGUUCCUCUACUGGUUGAGCAAGUUGGAGAUUGUCCGGCCGUUGAUUUCAUCGAUUUUGGCCAAUCUAGUCAGAGAUUGAGGUCUGUGUUUAGUGCAAACAUGGAUAACGUUCUUCUUCUCCUUUUUUUAUCGGAGAUCGUGUUUUUGUUUUUGUUUUGGUCAGAGAGAUUGUGGUUUUUUCCCCUUUUUUUUUCAAUAUAAUGGUUAUUAAAUGAUAGUAUCUUGAUUAUUGGAGUAAUUAGUCUAUUAUUGGGAGGUAAGAAGUAUCUAGUGGAGGUCAAUAAACAUUUAUUGACCCCAAUAUUGCUUUUAUAAAUUUUUUUUGAGAUGUAGGGAUUUGCCUUAGAGGUAAAAACUUCCUUUUUAACUCGAUUACUAGGAAUCAUUAACUGAUUAUUGAGGUUAAGUAACUGAUUAUUGAGGGUCAGUAAGUGAUUAUUGGGGUUCAGUAACUGAUUAUUGGGGGUUAAUAACUGAUUAUUGGGGGUCAUUUUGAGAGUCAGUAACCGAGUUAUUGGUGAUCAGAAUCCAGCAACCGGAAAAAAUCUGAGUUACUGGGGGUCAGUAACUAAGUUACCGGUUAUCGGAAUCAGGCGACCGGAGAAAAUAUGAGUUACUAGGAGUCAAUAACGGCGACCGAAGAAAUUUCUGGCAACCGGGGACCGGAAUCCGGCGACCGGCAACCAGAGUCCGGCGGCGGGUGACCGGAGUCCGGUGAGAUUCCGGCCAAGUAUUCUCUCUCUUCCACUUUCUCUCUCUAUACAUGUUGAAGUGGUGAGAGUAAAAUUGUCUUAAAAAUAUAUAAAAAUUAUUUUUUAUUAUAACAUUAGUAAAGAUUUGUGCAUAAAAAAUGUUACCUUAUAUUGGAAUGAGCUCAUGAAAAAGAUUAACAUUAAAAUGGGGAAUAAGAGGUUUAAAUUAGUAUUAAAUUGACAUUUUCCCUUUAAAAUAAUAACAGAACCAUCAAUGCCGUGAUAGUCCCUUAAUAUUUGGUGGCUAAUUAGUAAUGCAUUCAUGGUAGUUGUGCUUAUUUUGUGCAUGUAUUCUAAUUCUAUCACUUGCAAAAUCGUUGUGGAAGGUUAAGAGGAGAAAACAGAAAAUGGGGCAGCAUGCAUCUCAUUUUAUUUCCGAUCAUAUUUUCAUAUCAUAGACGUUCACUAUUUAGAUAUACAUGAGUUGAUCAUCUCUACAAAAUUUCAACUAAUUUAGUUAUCAUUAAGGUAUCGAAAAUGUAUUAAAUCAAUGAACGAACCGAAUCUGUUCAUCCUGAACUGUACGUUCUAUUAGUUCUAAAUCACAGUUUUGAAUGUCUUAAUGAUUAUCAACUUGGCUGAAAAUUUAUAUAGAUGAUCUACUGAUAUAUAUACCUAAAAUAUGAACGGUUGAGAUGAGAAAAUAUGAUCGAAAGUGGGACAAAUAAUGAAAUCCGUACCUUAGAUAAGGUAAGGAGGUCCUUACCUGAUCAAGAUUGUGUGUGUGUGUCUAUAGAGUUUAGGGUUUAGAGUUUUAGGGUGUCAUGAAGAUAUCAUACAUCCUAAUCUCUCUGAAGCAGCAUUGCUUUUCCCACCGAGAGAUGACUUGCCUGAAAAGUAUGCCGGUCAGAUGGAAGGGUUAUGGUUUGCCGGAAAGAAUGUUGCUACAAGGAGAUUUGUAUUUGGUGCGAAAGCCAUAUCUUCAAUUCAAGAUGAAGCGAAGAGCGAGUCUGUGCCCAAGCCAUCACAAGUUCAGGCCGUCACUGGUUUUCUCUGGAAACAUCUAAUUGCUGCUUCUCGGGCACUAACAUCAGGUAAAAUCAGUUUAUCAACAAGCGUAAUGUAUUUGGGGUAGUCCCUUAUUAAUUAGCUGUUGUCCUAAACUUCUAACGAUAUGAACUUCUUUUUCAAAAGAAAAAAAAUAGUACACACUUAACAUUUUUUCUGUUAUAAUUUCACAUUAUUUAUAUAUUUUUAUUACGUAUAGUGUACUGUGUACAUAGCUCAAAGAAAGAUAAUAUAUAUGAACUUGCAGGUACUAACUACUUCAACAAAACUUUCUAUAGCAGCCCAGGCAGUGAACAUAAGAUCACGGAUGAACAUGGAGACAGUGUUGGAUAAUGCCAUUGGGAUCUUGAUAUGGUCGGCUCCGGCCAUACUAGAGCUAAAGUCAUACAACACCAGAGAUCAAU